Molecule: long non-coding RNA, 67421 nt
Filed under: Lathyrus oleraceus (garden pea)
Lineage: Eukaryota; Viridiplantae; Streptophyta; Magnoliopsida; Fabales; Fabaceae
Description: Pisum sativum (pea) long non-coding RNA (PSAT_LNC021935)
Source: RNAcentral
UUUAAAACACAAACAACUAGUUCAUUGAAAUGAUAACUUGUUUAGUACACAAACAAGAUCUUACUUAAUACAUAGAAAUAAGAUCUUACGGAACAUAGAGAUUAAAAACAUAGGAACAACAUGAAAAGUUUUUAAAAUGACAUAGAUAUUGAUUAACAAAGAUAUGAACUAGUUUCGGGUAUUUUUUAACCAUCCAUCAAGGUAAACUUGUUUGGAGUCAGGGGUGGAUUUUGGUCUAAUAUCUUUCAACCAUCCAUCAAGGUAAACUUGGUUGGAAUCAGAGGAGGAUUUUGCUUUUUCAGCUCGAGUGUCUUUCAACCAACCAUCAAGAUAAACUUGUUUGGGAUCAGAGGUGGAUUUUGUUUUCUCUGCUCGAGUAUCUUUCAACCACCCAUCAAGGUAUACUUGGUUGGAGUCAGGGGUAGAUUUUGUUCUCUCGUUUCGAAUAUCUUUCAACCAUCCAUCAAGGUAAACUUGGUUGGAAUCAGAGGAGGAUUUUUCUUUUUCAGCUCGAGUGUCUUUCAACCAACCAUCAAGAUAAACUUGUUUGGGAUCAGAGGUGGAUUUUGUUUUCUCUACUCGGGUAUCUUUCAACCACCCAUCAAGGUAUACUUGGUUGGAGUUAGGGGUAGAUUUUGUUCUCUCGUUUCGAAUAUCUUUCAACCAUCCAUCAAGGUAAACUUGGUUGGAGUCAGAGGAGGAUUUUUCUUUUUCAGCUCGAGUGUCUUUCAACCAACCAUCAAGAUAAACUUGUUUGGGAUCAGAGGUGGAUUUUGUUUUCUCUACUCGGGUAUCUUUCAACCACCCAUCAAGGUAUACUUGGUUGGAGUCAGGGGUAGAUUUUGUUCUCUCGUUUCGAAUAUCUUUCAACCAUCCAUCAAGGUAAACUUGGUUGGAGUCAGAGGAGGAUUUUUCUUUUUCAGCUCGAGUGUCUUUCAACCAACCAUCAAGAUAAACUUGUUUGGGAUCAGAGGUGGAUUUUGUUUUCUCUACUCGGGUAUCUUUCAACCACCCAUCAAGGUAUACUUGGUUGGAGUCAGGGGUAGAUUUUGUUCUCUCGUUUCGAAUAUCUUUCAACCAUCCAUCAAGGUAAACUUGGUUGGAGUCAGACAUGGUUUUUGUUUGCUUUGCUCGAGUAUUUUUCAACCAUCCAUCAAGGUAAACUUGGUUGGAGUCAGAUGUAGAUUUUUCUUUCUCAGCUCGGGGAUCUUUUAACCAUCCAUCAAGAUAAACUUGUUUGGAGUCAGAGGUGGAUUUUGUUUUCUCUGCUCGGGUAUCUUUCAACCAUCCAUCAAGGUAAACUUGAUUGGAGUUAGGCAUGGACUUUUCUUUCUCGACUCUGAUAUUUUUCAACCAUCCAUCAAGAUAAACUUGGUUUGAGUCACUUGCAGGUUUUGUUUUCUCAACUCGGGUAUUUUUCAACCAUCCAUCAAGGUAAACUUGGUUGGAUUCAGAGGUGGAUUUUGCGUUCUCUGCUCUGGUAUCUUUCAACCAUCCAUCAAGGUAAACUUGGUUGGAGUUAGGUGUUGACUUUUCUUUCUCAGCUCUGAUAUCUUUCAACCAUCCAUCAAGAUAAACUUGGUUGGUGUCACCGGUAGAUUUUGCUUUCUCAGCUCGAUUAUCUUUCAACCAUCCAUCAAGGUAAACUUGGUUGGAUUCAGAGGUGUCUUUUGCUUUCUUUGCUCUGGAAUCUUUUAACCAUCCAUCAAGAUAAACUUGAUCAGAGUUCUGGGAGGAUUUGGUUUUCUCUGCUCGUGUAUCUUUCAACCAUCCAUCAAGAUAAACUUGGUUAGAGUUAGCAAUGUGUUUUUGACUCUUCAAUGGAUUUUUGAGCCAACCAUCAAGGUAAGGUUGAUCAACUUGUAUUUCUUGUACAUUCUCUUGCUGAAGUUUGAUAUAUCGGGCAAAGCUUCCUUGUCCAUUCUAUAAUACAAUUGAAUAAAUGGAUAUUAGUGAGUUAUUUUUGGAUGGUAUAUAUGAUUACAAAAACAAAAUAAUGUGUUUUAUAAGACACAUUAUGUUGCACAGGUGAGACACAUUCAUUAUAUAUUUCAGAUGGAUACAAAAUGUGAAAUAAAAAUGAAAGAAAAACAAUUUUUAAAAUUUCAUUGCGGCAUAGAAAACAUUAUUUUAUCAAAUCAAAUAGAACAACUUGAUUGUAAGUGAAUGAUGAAAUCAAAUCAAAUAAAGAUGAGAAAUGAUAGAUUGUGAUAAAUAAAUGAUGAAAAAUAUAAGUGUAAAAGAUACAAGAAUGGAUGCAAAGUUAGUAACUUACGAUCAACAAGAGCAUGAUAAAAGGGAGGAGAAACAAAACAUCUUUGUGUGUCAUUUCUUUAAUGUUAUGAUUUUGUGGGAAAAUUGUUUUAAUGUGAAAAGAUGUAUUGAAAUGGAAGUGAAUUGGGCUAUUUAUAAGUGAAUGAAAAGAAAAACUACAUUAAGGAUAUUAAGGACAUUGCGACUUUGGUUGGCAAGAUUAUUUUUUAAAUAUUUAAUUUAUUUUAUUUUUUAAAUGUUUAGUUUAAUUUAUAAGUUUAUAUGUCUAAGAAAGAUCAAUUUACUUUUUCCAAGAUCUAUUAGGUGUGUUGUUUUGAGUUAUAAAUAAAAAAUUCAAAAAAUUGUUUGUUUGGUAUCAUUUUUUUAAUUAGAAGCUCCUAACUAAAUUCUCCAGGUUUAAAAUAAAUAAAUUUUAGAAAAGCUACUGCAAUUAGUUUUUUAUUUUAAAAUUAAAAAUGAUUCUCUUAAAAACUUUAAUAAAAACCUAUUAAAAUGAUAAAGGUGAUUUUUUAAAUGUUAAACAAACAUUUAUUUUGAUAAGUUAUUUCAAAUAAUUUAAAAUUUCAUAAAUUUAUUUUAAUUUAUAAUUGAAGUGGUAAUUAUCAUAAUCUCGUCUCUUGAGUUCUAAUAUUUGAGCUAAUAGUAUAAAUAUUUUUUAGUUGAAUUAAAAUUUGCAUUAAUGAUAGUUUCAAUUUUACAAUUAAUUAAACUAAUUUAGUAGUUAAUUUUAUUAAGUGUAAUAAAUGCAAUGAAUUAAUUUAACUACAUCCCCUUUAAUUCGAGGUGGGUGUAGGUAUUCCGAGACAUUCAAAUUUGAAGACUAAUAUAUAGAUUAAAAUUAUUUAUUAAUUUAUUUAAUGGUAAUUACAUAUUACAAAAUUUCAUUUUUGGAAAAAAGUUAUUAUUUUAAUAUUUUAUAUUUUUUAAUAGUUAUUAUUUUAUAAAAUUAAUUAUAAUGAGUAUAAUAUUUUAAUUUUAUUAUCAUCAAAUAUACACGACAUCAAAAUUACCAAACAUGAAAUCUAAAUAUAGGGAUCCAAUUAAUUGAAUUGGAAUUUACAUUGUGAAUCAUGAGUCUUCUGCCACCAAUUCCUAGGGACUCACUACCUAGCAAACAAUGAAUACAAAAUAGUAUCACAAGAAACACUAAAAUACUGUGUUGACCCUUGCAUGUUUAAGAUGUUCACAUGUAGCUAGGGUUUGGGUGGUUAUGUAGUUAUGCUUACCUAAUAGUAAGACUGUGUUGACCUUUGCAUGUUUAAGAUGUUCACAUGUAGCUAGGGUUUGCGUGGUUAUGUAGUUAUGCUUAUCUAAUAGUAAGUUAAAAAAUUGUAGUUAUCUAAAAAGUAAUAAAUUAUUAUAUUGACCGGUCUAAAGAGAAGAUAGAUAAGUUANGUAGUUAAUUUUAUUAAGUGUAAUAAAUGCAAUGAAUUAAUUUAACUACAUCCCCUUUAAUUCGAGGUGGGUGUAGGUAUUCAGAGACAUUCAAAUUUGAAGACUAAUAUAUAGAUUAAAAUUAUUUAUGUUCGUCUUAUAUAUUUUUUUUUUAUAUUUUAAUAUAAAUAUUUAUUAAUUUAUUUAAUGGUAAUUAUAUAUUACAAAAUUUCAUUUUUGGAAAAAAGUUAUUAUUUUAAUAUUUUAUAUUUUUUAAUAAUUAUUAUUUUAUAAAAUUAAUUAUAAUGAGUAUAAUAUUUUAAUUUUAUUAUCAUCAAAUAUACACGACAUCAAAAUUACCAAACAUGAAAUCUAAAUAUAGGGAUCCAAUUAAUUGAAUUGGAAUUUACAUUGUGAAUCAUGAGUCUUCUGCCACCAAUUCCUAGGGACUCACUACCUAGCAAACAAUGAAUACAAAAUAGUAUCACAAGAAACACUAAAAUACUGUGUUGACCCUUGCAUGUUUAAGAUGUUCACAUGUAGCUAGGGUUUGGGUGGUUAUGUAGUUAUGCUUACCUAAUAGUAAGACUGUGUUGACCUUUGCAUGUUUAAGAUGUUCACAUGUAGCUAGGGUUUGCGUGGUUAUGUAGUUAUGCUUAUCUAAUAGUAAGUUAAAAAAUUGUAGUUAUCUAAAAAGUAAUAAAUUAUUAUAUUGACCGGUCUAAAGAGAAGAUAGAUAAGUUAUUAUAAUCAAAUAUUAUCUAAAAAACAAUAAAUUAUAAGGAAUAUAGUUUCAUUAUUUUUAUGUUUAUUUAAAAAAUAUAAAUAUUUUUUAAAUUAAUGAUAAAUAAUUGAUUUUAAAUGUGAUGAUGGUUUAUAUCUUUACAUAAGAAACUAAAUGAUAAAAUGUGAAUAUUCAUAUCUAACAUUAAAUAUUUAUCUAAAUAUGUAGGCCAGCCUCAUAUUUAUUGUAAAUUUUUUAACAAAGCUUUUAAUAAUGUAAAUUAGAAUAAUGUAGGCCAGCCUCUCUAUUUAUAUAAAAAAAAUAUUUUUUAAAAUAUUUUUAUAAUAAAAAUAUAAAAUUUGUCACAAAACAAUUUUAUUAUUUUAUUAACUAUAAAAAUAUAGGUUAUAAAUCACAUAUUUCAUUUAUAAUUCAUUAACCAGUAAAAUACGUAAUAUUAAUCAAAUUAUAAUAUUAAAAUAUGAAAUACACAAUUUGCUUAAUUAUUAAUUAUUAUAUUUUAUAUUUUAAUGUCAAAAUUUAUUGAUAUUAUUUAUUUUAUUAAUUGAAUACAGUAAUAAAUAAAAUAUAUGGUUAAUCACCUAUAUUUUUGUGAUUAAUAUAAUAAUAAAAUUAAUUAAUAACAAACUUUAUAUUUAUAUUAUAAAAAUAAUUAUAAAAAUAAAUCAAAAACGAGUUUAAGACAACAUAGGAAAAAGGGAGACUCGGAUAUCGUAUCUCAAAGACGGUUGAAUUAUUAUUAAUAUACUGGAAUCGAAUUGGGGGUUUAUAUUUGAUUCAUAAUAAAUGAUUAUGAAAAGUGAUUAUAAAAUAAGUUGAUUUAUUGAUUCGGUUCCUACCUACCAUUGAUUAUUAUAGCGCGAAUGAAAGUGUAAGAAUUAUGUUUCUUAUUUGCUGAAUUAAGCAAUCAGUUAAGAUUAAAGCGAAUUAACGGAUUAAGCAUACGUUAACACGCAAUCAAAAUUAGGGAACAAUAAAUAUUCAAAUCAAACAAAAUUACUAAGUUUGAAAUUGUACCUCAUUCAGGUCUUGGUUCAAGCAUCCCUAUGUGCAUCACAUUUAACUUUGCAUAGGCCAUGAACUCAAGUCUUUUGGUAUGGAAAAAUGCAUAGAUCCAUAUGCCCGAUUCACUUCAUUCAUAUGAUGCAGAUGAUCAAGGAUGAUUGAUCCAUUUAAGACUUAGUUCCAUUGGUUCAUUCUUUGUUGCUUAAGAAAUCUCAGGGUUUUACUAAGAAGAAAGAGGUCGAGACCAGUGUCGUGAUAGUAAAUAUCUACCCUCAAGUUCAAGCACCUAUGACUCAUGUGUCAUACUACCCUUAUCUGUACAUUGUCGCUGCUCAAUAUCAGCAACCUGCAUACCAACCGCAAUAUCAACAGCCUCCAUGGGCUCCAAUUUCUCAGAAUCAACAAAAUAGCAGAAACCAGAGUCUAGGUCAGGGCAGACGUUAUGAUAGAAAACGUCCUCAGCCUGACCAUAUCCCUGUAUCAUACACUCAGUUGUUGUCGUAUCUUGUCCAGUAAGGAGCAAUUGCGCCAAAAGAGAUUCCGCCUGCAACUCCUCCCUAAAAUCACAAGCAUAAUCCUAAUGUGUCUUGUGCAUUUCAUGUCGGAUACAUAGGGCAUUCUACAGAGGAUUGUUUGGUCCUCAAGACCAUAGUACAAGAGUUAAUUGAUCAUAAGGUUUUGUAAUUCUCUGAGGCAGGACCCAAUGUCAUAACCAACCUAUUGCCAGACCACUGUGGACAGAUAGUGAAUGCAGUUUAUGGCGAAGAUUCCUCAGAUUCAGUUGAUUCUUCAGAGAAGUACUGAUGCUAGCAAUAUCAUAUUGAUUCAAUCAUGUAUCAUUUGUAAUCUUUUCUUGUUUGUUAAUUGUUGUUCAUUUGUAAAACUUGUCUGGUUUUUCAGAUGAUAAUAAUAAUGAAAUAAGCGUGCAUGUUUUGCUUAAAUCCAUUCGUGUUCACUCAUAUUUUAUUUUAUCAGUAUCAAAUUGUUUGUCGAACAAAAUCAAAAGAGAAUGAUGAAAUUAAAAAUAUGCAAGAUCGCUGUUUGUAUGCUUUUGAAUAAGAUCAUGUUGAUGAUGCAAGGCAUUGUUCAAUCCCUAAACACCGGAGAUAUAAGGAAGAUAAUCCCUAGUCAACCCAUUUGGAUGUUGUAGUAGGAGUUUCUUUCUUUAACACAUAAAAUCCUCAUGCUUAACUAGGGGCAGGGUAUUCUUCAUUUAGUUUAGACUUGCAUUCAAAUUUCAGAAGGAGAAUAUCUCAUCCAGUGAUCAAUCAUAUCAUAUCCCUCUCAAGAGGAUGGAAUCACAAAUCCAGGAUGGUUAUCCCUUACCAUUCAAAAGGAGUGAGAUAGUCACGACCCAUGCAACAAAUCAAGAAAGUCGUGUCACACGGUUUUCUCUAGUACAAAAAGAAAAGAUGAAAAAAUUAAAAGUCCGCUAAGUCAAAAACUUGAAAACAAGAUUGACUUAUAUGUGUGUGUUUGGGGUGAGUCUGGAGAUGCACCUUCGAACUUCGAAAUGUGUGAGCUUUUUUGUAUUUUUCAUCUCAUGCCCUAGUAAUAUAUAUGGUGCAUUAAAAAAUAUCCAUAAAUUAAGGGAUUUGGUUAACACACUCUUAGGAUUGUUUUUCGACCCUUGUGAAAAAUCAAAACUACCUUUAGAAUUCAGAAAUAAAUCUUUGGACGCACCUCAAACACACACACAAUCAAUUCAUUUUUGAGUCAUGAAGUUAAUUAGGAAAUGCAUCUCCUUAAAUAUUAACGGGGGUGUAUUUUCCAAACCUAUUGAACCACACAGAAUUGCAUAAACCAAACAGAUGCAGAAAUAAAGAUAAAUCACAUUGAUAACAUGAAAAAUGAAAUAUUACAUAGAUAAUCGUUAACAUAAAUCGAACUUUGCAUUUGAACAUCAAGAUGGACGUUUCAACAUAUUUAUAAUAUCUUUUAUCGAUCUCGCAAUCAUCGCAUCCAACUUGAUCAAACAUUUUAUUUCGUAACGGUUAAAUGUAUUUCACAUAACUCUUAAAUCCGCAUCCGUCUUCAGCUUAAAGUUGUUGAACUGAAUCUACCAUUCAUUAUCAACCGAGAGUGAACCUUACUUGAGUUUCACAAUUCUUCAAUGAACUUAAAUGCAAUUGAGGACUCCGCGUAGUUGAGUCAUAUUUCAUGGAGACUCAUAAUGCGUCCAAAAAUGCAUUUCCAAAAUUUUAGUGGCAUUUUUAAAUUUUUAUAGGAUGGUUUUCCAGCACUUAUGUAGAGAUAAACAAUUUCCUUAUUAAAGGUCUCUGAGAGGAAUUGAAAUAAAUAUAUUUAAAAAAUUAGUAUUAUACUUAUUUAAGGAAUAAAGUUUUCUAACCAAAAAUUUUUCCCUAAUUUUUUUGUGCCUAAUUUUUUUGCUAACAAAAUAGAGACCUGAUUAUAUUUCACUAAUUUUCAUUCAUCUCUCAAUUAAUAUCUCUCAUAACCCUCAUUAACUCUCAAUUAAUGUAAUUCAUAUCAAUUAAUUGUUUUUUGAAAAUUUUGUAUCCGGCUUCGGACCAACUAGUUUAGUGAAUUGCUAAUUUCAUCUUUAAGUGUUGGAAAAAUACCUUAUAAAAAUUUGAAAAUACUCUUCUGAUUCCAAAAAUGCAUCUUCGGACGCAACUUGCACCUCACCAAAACACGCUUCAACUUGUUGAUGUUUUUUAUGUAAUUCAAGUGGUGUAACUGGUUACCUCAUGUGGUGUAAACGGUUACCACUAAAGUUGAUUUAAUUCAAUAUCAGAUGUAACCGAUUAUCCACUUUUGUGUAACGAUUACAAGCUUAAUAUUUUGAUUUUUUCUGAUAUUUUACUUGGUCAAUUCAGUUCCCAAUUGUGUUGUAUCUCUUGUAUAAGUGUUUAGAAUGUACACUCAUCUAAGGUUAAUGCAAUAAUAAUCUCUCAUCCUCAAUUCUCCUCUUUCACACUCCACAUCCAAAGUAUCUCCACCAUUAUUCACCAAACUUGUGGUGUCCUGUUCCAACAUUUGACAUCAAGAGUCUGGUUCAGAUCCACAAACACUUAGUGUGCAACAUGAAUUAUGUUUCCAAUGAAAAAAUCCCUCCAAACCUACCUAUCCUUGAUGCGAAGAAUUAUGAUAAAUGGUACAAGGAAAUGAAGAUGUUGUUUGGCUACCAAGAUGUUCUUACAGUAACUCUUAAGAGAAAAUAGUUGUCCCUGACCUACUUUGAGUCUCCGUAGGGAAAUUGGACUGGCAAAGAGGGUAGAAGGAGGAAACUACUCAAGUGAGCUUGAAGCAACAAAGGCAGUGAGUUUAGUUCCCACGCGGGGAAGAACGUUUAUAACAAGAGCCAGGAAGAUAAAUUAUUUUAUAAUACCUUCUCAAAAGUAAAAUGAGCUAUGAGAAAGAGCAAGAAUCUCAAGCGAUUGGCUGAACUUAACCUAGCUCGAGCUACAUGGCGGUUGAUCAAGGGAUACCGGAAAGAGGCAAACAACAGAACCUCCGGGUUUGAAGCUUUUCAUGUCGGGGCGAGGUCAAUCAAGGGUUUUGGGUCAGUGAAAGCUCGAGUGCCCCCUUCAAAAGUAAGGUGUCGGGAAUGCAACCAGUGAGGUGACCCGUUCCGUUAGGGCGGAUGAAAGAAGUUAUCCUGAAGCAGCGUCAAAGGCCUCUGUAGGCCCUUCAACAGGAUUUUUUGUCGUGUAGCAUUCUGUUUUGGCUACUCACGAAACUCUUUAUCCUUAAUAGGAAGAACUCCCUUUAGAGGAAGGAUACAAAGACCAAGCCUGUCUUUCUCUCUUAAAAAGGGCAUAUGGGGCAGGGCAGAAAGACUAUUUUAGGGGACUAAUCUGCUAAUGAAUGAAGGAAGGAGAAGGCCUUAAUUGUCUAUCCAAAGGUCCGCCUUGGGUGGAUUUAGGCGAAUCAAGUGGGUGGGAAUGAUCCGAGCCCCCUAUGUAAAUUUCAGUAAGGUAACUAAGGUUUACAAUAAUUCAUUUCAGUAGUGCGUUACCUUGCAGCUCUAUCUAUCGGGUAGUCAGUCUCUUGGUCAAAAGCCGGUACCUAAUUCCCCUGCUGGUGGGCCGAUCCUCGUCUAGCGGUGGGAACCGGCUGGUAUGGAUCAAUUGCUUGCCCUGUCUCUCUUCUGUUCAACCAUCGAGAAUCCGCAGUUAUCUUUGCUCAUUGGGUGGGCGAAGGAAUCCUUUCUAUUGAAUAAGGGCUUUGAGAAGCAGGCCAUUCCGUUCCAGUUAGCACCGUAUCCCGCUUUUCCGAUAGCAAAGGGCCUUCUAAUUAGCGUGCUUUGCUUAACCCGGCAAGAUCCGAGAUCAGACCUAGUCCUGCUGACCCGCUACCCUUGAAAACAUACUUUUUGCCACCUUACGACUGGUGUGAAGGAACUUAUUGCACAUAUUUAACAUGGGGAAGGAAAGAGGAGGGAAUAAAGCAUAUUUUAGGCAUCGANUUAAGAAAUGUCCAUGAAUUAAGGGAUUUGGUUAACGCACUCUUAGGGUUGUUUUUCGACCCUCGUGAAAAAUCAAAACUACCUUUAGAAUUCAGAAAUAAAUCUUUGGACGCACCUCAAACACACAUAAUCUGUUCAUUUUGUAGUCAUGAAUUUAAUUCGGAAAUGCAUCUCCUUAAAUAUUUAUGGAGGUGUAUUUUCAGAACCUACUUAACCACAAAGAAUUUCAUAAACCAAACAGAUGCAGAAACAAAGAUAAAUCACAUUGAUAACAUUGAAAAAUGAAAUAUUACAUAGAUAAUCGUUAACAUAAAUCGAACAUUAUAUUUGAACAUUAAGAUGGACGUUUCAACAUCUUUAUAAUAUCUUUUAUCGAUCUCGCAAUCAUCGCAUCCAACUUGAUCAAAUAUUUUGUUUCGUAACGGUUAAAUGUAUUUCAGAUAACUCUUAAAUCUGCAUUCGUCUUCAGCUUAAAAUUGUUGAAAUGAAUCUUCGAUUCAUUAUCAAUCGAGAGUGAACCGUACUUGAGUUUUGUAAGAACAAAAAUAGUUCUACAAUAGAUUCCAUGAUUUUGAUGAUAACAAAGGAUGAAACCAAAAAUGGCACCCUAACGAAAAGUUUCUAAGUGUGCAGGGUUCUAAAGAAAGAAGAAAUAAAUCUGAUGAUGUCAUCAGAUGCAAAACAAGAUCAGAUGUAAAAUCUCAAGUAUCAGAAGCAUCUAAAGAGGAAUCUCAUUCAAGAAGCUCUGACUCUGGACAAAACUACAAAGUAUCAGAAGCAUCUGAACAUGAAGUAAAGUCUAGAAGCUCUGACUCUGAACAAAUGCCUUCUGUAAAUUCUGAAGUUAUCAGCGCCAUCUGAACUUUCAAGAGAUAACAUCAGAAGCCAGUUUCUCCAGAUACACAAAGACUCUAAUCAGAAUUGUUAAUCAUGAUGAAGUAACGUUUAAGCCAAGUUAAAGUUCUGCAAAUGGAUUUCCUCAAUUAGAAAGAGACGUUAAUCUCCACUUCCAAGAGAGAAGAUACUAAUUGUGGUAAGUAGUCACUUCUAAGAGAAAAAGUCUACUGCAGAAGCUAUUAAUGGAAUGGCGUAACUACAUCUCAAUAUCCAACAGAUUCAACGCUACUUCAACUCUACUUCAACUCCUAUAAAUAGAGAAGAAAUCUCAUUCAGUAAGAAAGAAAUCACUAGCCAAAACUAUACUGAAAUUAUAUCACGCUCAAGAAAAACAUCUUUGUUCUUCAAAGAUUUUCACUAAGCUUUUGCUUAUCAAGUGAAAAAUUUGUUCUUAAGUUUGUAAUAUUUGCUUUCUUAGAAGCACUCUAGAUUACACAUCUUGUAUCUAAUUUUUAUUUGAUUUCCUCAAGUGACUCUUUGUAGUCUGUAGACUUGAGAGGACUAAGAGAUUUUCUUCUCUCUUAGGGGUUGUUUGUAAUCUUUCAAGAUUAGUGGAUUAAGUCCUUGUUGAAGGCGAAAUCACCUUGGCCGGGUGGACUGGAGUAGCUUUGUGUUAUAAGCGAACCAGUAUAAAAUCAUUGUGUGAUUUUCUUUUGCAAAAGCGCUUAUUUUUCAAACAAUUCAAACCCCCCCUUUCUUGUUUUUCUCACCUUCAAUUGGUAUCAGAGCUCCGGCUCUGUUAUUGAUUUUCAAAUCAAACACUUAACCGUGUAGAGAGAUCCAGUGCGAGAAAAACAAAUGGCCCACUCAAAUGAGAAAGAUUCUUACAAUGCCAAGCCUCCUGUUUUUGAUGGAGAAAAGUUUGAUUACUGGAAAGAUAGAAUCGAAAGUUUCUUUCUGGGUUAUGAUGCUGACCUCUGGGACAUUGUCACAGAUGGAUACAAACCUCCAACCUUAAAUGGAGCUGAAGUUCCCAGAAGCAAAAUGUCAGAAGAUCAGAAACGUGAGUUCAAAAAUCAUCACAAGGCCAGAACAAUACUUCUAAAUGCUAUAUCAUACAACGAAUACGAAAAGAUCACCAACAGAGAGACGGCUAAAGAUAUACUUGACUCUCUGAAGAUGACCCAUGAAGGAAACUCCCAAGUCAAGGAGACGAAGGCUCUGGCGUUGAUCCAGAAAUAUGAAGCCUUCAAGAUGGAAGAUGACGAAGCUAUAGAAGCUAUGUUUUCCAGAUUCCAAACUCUUAUUGCAGGUCUUAAAGUGCUAGACAAAGGAUACACGACUGCAGAUCAUGUUAAGAAGAUUGUCAGAAGUCUGCCAAAGAAAUGGAGACCUAUGGUUACUGCUCUGAAGUUAUCAAAGGAUCUGAACAGUAUCAGCCUUGAAGAACUUGUUAGUUCUCUCAGAAGCCAUGAGAUAGAACUAGAGGAGGAUGAGCCUCAGAAAAGGAACAAGUCAGUGGCGCUGAAGUCCAGACCUGAAAGACGGAAGUCAGACAGAACCAAAGCUCUCCAGGCAGAAACUGCAGAUACUGACGACUCUGAACCUGAAGACUCUGAUGAUGAAGAAGAACUGUCCUUACUAACCAGAAGAGUUAAGCAACUCUGGAAAAGAAGGAACAACAACAACUUCAGAAGAUCAAGACCCAGAGGGGAUAGAUCAGAGUCAACUUCAAAAGGUAAACCUAAUAAAGAUAUUACCUGUUUUGAAUGUAAAGAAACAGGUCAUUAUAGAAAUGAAUGCCCCAAGCUGAAGAAAGAUAACUCUAAGAAAGAAAGCUUCAAGAAAAAUGCCUUCAGAACAAAGAAGGGAUUAAUGGCCACCUGGGACGAUAGUGAAUCAGGAUCAUCAGAAUCUGACUCUGAUGAACAAGCCAACGUAGCAUUUAUGGCUACCACAUCCAGCAGCUCAGAUGAAGAAUCUGAAGAGGUAUUUUCUGAACUUUCUAGAUCUGACUUAGAAUCAUGUUUAUCAGAAACUCUUACCUCUCUUCAGAAAUUAAAACAAAAAGUUAAAAGCAUUAAAGGCCUUCUUAAAGCAAAAUCUGAAGAAUGUAGUGAACUUGAGACAACAAUUCUAGCACAUGAAGAUACAAUCAAAUCUUUAACGUUAGAAAGAGAUGGAGCUAAAACAAAAAGCUUAAAAUUAGAAGAAGCGUUGUCUCAAGCACCACAAACUUCAAAUGAAAUUAUUUAUAAAUAUGAAGAAGCCUUUCAGAAGUUUCUGAAGAGUGGAAUAGAUAGGAGUAUUAUGGCAUCCAUGAUUUAUGGAGUAAGUCAGAAUAAUAAAAGGGGAAUUGGGUAUGAUUCUGAUUCUGAUAAAACUUCUACCAGUAACCAAAUUAAAUCACCUUUUUCAUACCACUAUACACACACACAAGAACACAAAUUUAAAAAUGCUAGAAGACCCAAAGUUGUAAGAAACUCUGGGAAAACUAAUCUGAAAGGACCCAAGAGAUUCUGGGUACCGAAAGAUAAGAUUAUCUAUGUUGCAGAUAUCCUAUGCAGCAAAGUUCAGACACCAGUCAUGGUACCUGGACUCUGGAUGCUCGCGACAUAUGACGGGAAGAAAGUCUAUGUUCCAAAGCCUGGAACUUAAAGACGCUGGCUUUGUAGGCUUCGGAGGAGAUCAGAAAGGAAGGAUCAGAGGCUCCGGAACUAUUGGUAAUGGUACUCUUCCCUCUAUAUCUGAUGUUCUUUAUGUAGAAGGAUUAAUGCAUAACUUGUUAUCCAUAAGUCAAUUAAGUGAUAACGGUUAUGAUGUAAUCUUUAAUCAAAAAACGUGUAAAGCCAUUAAUCAGAACGAUGGCUCUGUCCUUUUCACAGGCAAGAGGAAAAACAACAUUUAUAAAAUAAAUCUUUCUGAUUUAAAAGAUCAAAAUGUUAAAUGUUUAAUGUCAGUUCACGAAGAGCAAUGGGUAUGGCAUAGACGCUUAGGCCACAUUAGCAUGAGAAAACUUUCUCAGCUAACUAAACUUGAGUUAGUCAGAGGCUUACCUAAACUGAAGUUUUCUUCAGAUGCUCUGUGUGAAGCUUGUCAGAAAGGAAAGUUUUCAAAAACAUCUUUUAAAAAGAAAAAUGUUGUUUCUACCUCCAAGCCUCUGGAGCUUCUUCACAUUGACUUAUUUGGUCCUGUGAAAACAGCAUCAGUCAAUGGAAAGAAGUAUGGACUAGUAAUCGUUGAUGAUUACAGCCGCUGGACAUGGGUAAAAUUCCUAAAGCACAAGAGUGAGUCUCACUCUGUAUUCACCAGUUUCUGUUCUAAAGUGCAAAAAGAAUUUGACUCUAAAAUUGUUAGAGUCAGAAGUGAUCAUGGUGGAGAAUUUGAAAAUAAAGAUUUUGAAGAAUUAUUUGAUUCUAAUGGAAUAUCCCAUGAUUUCUCCUGCCCUAGAACUCCACAACAAAAUGGAGUUGUAGAGAGGAAGAAUAGGACACUCCAAGAAAUGGCCAGAACCAUGAUCAAUGAAACAAAUGUAGCAAAGCACUUUUGGGCAGAAGCUGUAAAUACAGCGUGUUACAUUCAGAAUAGAAUCUCUAUUAGACCUAUUCUGGAUAAGACUCCCUAUGAACUGUGUAAGGGAAGAAAACCCAACAUUUCAUAUUUUCAUCCUUUUGGAUGCAUUUGCUUUAUAUUAAAUACUAAAGAACAUCUGAACAAGUUUGAUUCCAAAGCACAGAAAGGUAUUAUGUUAGGAUACUCAGAACGCUCUAAAGGCUACAGAGUAUACAACACAGAAACCAAAAUUGUGGAGGAAUCAAUUCAUGUUAGAUUUGAUGAUAAGCUUGACCCUGAAAAGUCAAAGCUAGUUGAAAAGUUUGCAGAUUUAGAGAUCACUCUGGUAGAAUCUGAGAAAACUCCAGAAGCAACUGUCACUCCAGACUCUGAAGAAAUUAAAUCUCCAGAAAUUCCAAGGAAAGUCAAGAGUCGUAGCAACGUAUCUGAAGAUUUGAUUUUGGGAAACAAAGAUGAACCUGUUAGAACCAGAUCUACCUUCAGAACUUCUGAAGAUAUUCCUCUGGGACUAGUGUCUCUGAUUGAGCCUACGUCCUGUGAUGAAGCUCUUCAAGAUAACGAUUGGGUGGCAGCUAUGCAAGAAGAGUUAGAUCAAUUCUCCAAGAAUGAUGUCUGGGAUCUCGUUCCUAAACCCAGAGGCACUCAUGUCAUUGGAACCAGAUGGGUUUUCAGAAACAAACUGAACGAGAAAGGAGAAGUUGUCAGAAACAAAGCACGACUGGUAGCUCAAGGUUAUAGUCAACAAGAAGGUAUUGAUUAUAAUGAAACUUUUGCUCCAGUCGCAAGGUUAGAAUCUAUUCGUCUUCUUGUAUCUUUUGCUAUUAAUCACUCUAUCAAAUUAUACCAAAUGGAUGUCAAGAGUGCAUUUCUUAAUGGUUAUAUUUCAGAAGAAGUGUAUGUCAAUCAACCUCCAGGUUUUGAAAAUUCAAACUUUCCAGAACAUGUUUUCAAACUUAAGAAAUCCUUAUAUGGACUUAAACAAGCUCCCAGAGCUUGGUAUGAACGCUUAAGUAAUUUUCUUCUGGAACAAAAUUUUAUCAGAGGGAAAGUUGAUUCUACACUCUUCUGUAAAAAUCAUAAAAAUGAUCUCAUGAUAUGCCAAAUUUAUGUUGAUGACAUUAUUUUUGGUUCUGCUAAUAUCUCUGUUUGCCAAGAAUUUUCUAAGUUAAUGCAGGCAGAAUUUGAAAUGAGUCUAAUGCAAGAACUAAAGUUCUUUCUGGGAAUUCAAAUUAAUCAAACUCCAGAAGUCACGUACAUUCAUCAAAGCAAGUACAUUAAAGACGUUCUGAAGAAGUUUGAUAUGUCUGAAUGCAACUCUGCAAAGACUCCUAUGCACCCAACUUGCAUUCUGGAAAAGGAAGAGGUAAGCAACAAGGUUUGUCAGAAGCUCUAUCGAGGUAUGAUAGGCUCUCUUCUCUAUCUGACUGCUACUCGUCCUGAUAUUCUCUUUAGCGUCUGUCUUUGUGCCAGAUUCCAAUCAGAUCCUAGAGAAUCUCAUUUAACAGCUGUUAAGAGAAUUCUUAAGUAUCUGAAAGGAACUCCUAACCUGGGCCUGAUGUAUGAGAAAACAUCAGAGUAUAGGCUUUCUGGUUAUUGUGAUGCAGAUUAUGCAGGAGAUAGAAUAGAACGAAAAAGCACAUCUGGAAAUUGCCAGCUUCUGGGAAACAAUCUAAUCUCCUGGGCUAGCAAAAGACAGUCAACUAUCGCUCUAUCAACUGCAGAAGCAGAAUAUAUCUCAGCAUCACUGUGCACAACUCAGAUGCUCUGGAUGAAACAUCAGCUAGAAGAUCUUCAAAUCUUUGAGAGUAACAUUCCUAUCCUUUGUGAUAAUACUGCUGCUAUUUGUUUGAGUAAGAAUCCUAUUUUACAUUCCAGAGCCAAACACAUAGAAAUUAAACAUCAUUUUAUUAGAGACUAUGUUCAGAAAGGAAUAGUAACGCUGAAGUUCAUUGAUACAGAACAUCAAUGGGCAGAUAUCUUUACUAAGCCUCUAGCUGAAGAUAGAUUUCUUUUCAUCUUAGAAAAUCUGAACAUUAAAAAUUGUCCUGAGUAAAAUUUGGCUCUGAACAUGUAAAAUGAGACUCUGAUAAAAACAAAUACACUUCUGCCUCUGACUCUGAUACUUCUACCAAGUUAAGAAGAUAUCUGAGUUAGAAAUCUUCAGAAAUCCUUUGGUAUUCCUGAAGAUCAGAUACAUCAACACGUGGGGAACAUGCGUCUAACCCUAGAACUUCUAGACAGCUGUCAAAAGAAAUCAAAGGUCAGAACGCUUGAAAUCUCCUCGAGCAGUGUGCUUACUGUUGGGAUUAGACAUUCAUUAAUUAGCUAUAAUCAUUUUUCCCCCAAACGUGCUAUUUUGGUUUUUGUGCUAACGCUGGUAUGUGUGUCGUUUUGCAUGUGUUUUUACCCUUAGUAUAUAAACACUUUCUCUCACUUUUCACACUUAUCACUCUCACUCACUCUAAAACCCUAAACCCUUCUCUGAAAGUUCUCUGCAAGUUCUUCAUCUUCUUCAAUCUCCAUCAUCUUCAUCAACAUGGACGCUCAACAACAAGAACUCUUCAACCAUUCUCAACAAGUGGAAUCUAGUUCCAAUCCCCAAACCUCAAACACUCAAACACCCACGGUUAUAAGCGUCACCACAACCCCAGUUUACAAAGAACCUCACAUUCUUGACCGUGAACAACACAUUCAUCUUUCAACUCCCUUUGAAGGUUUGGAUGUACUGUGUGAAUCGCUGGUGGAUUUUGAGAAUUUGAGAAGAAAUGGCGUUGAUUUAACUGAAGAUCUUCGCAAGCAAGGUUGGGAAACCUACUUCAACAGAUUGUAUGGUCCAAUCUAUCCUCUUCUGGUGAAAGAAUUCUGGAGAUGUGCAGAUGCUGAUGAUGAGUUCAUUGUUUCUUUUGUUCUGGGAGUGAAGAUCAUCAUCACAGAAGCAUCUAUUGCCUCUUUGCUGAACAUGGAGAGAACUGGAGGUAAAAGGAUUUACAACAUUCCUCCAAGGUCCAAGCGCAUCACAGAAGUCAUUAACCCUACAAUCUUCAAAGCAAAUGUUGAAGGAAACCCAUCUAAGAACAAGGAGCUUCAUCAGAACCUCCGAGUUUGGCUGAAGAUUAUUCUGGGAACAAUCCAUCAUCGUCCAGCCUCCAACUCUUCAGAUUAUAUAAAUGCUGAUCAGAAAUGCAUCCUCUACUGUAUUCAGAAGGGUAUUCCAAUCAACCUCCCUGUUCUCCUCUUCAGAUAUCUGAGGGAUUCAGUCAGAGAAACAAGGAAUAAUAUGAAGCCCAGAUCCUACAUUCCUCUGGGAAGAUUGCUCUCUGACAUCUUCAUUGAGCAUGGGCUGGUAGAUGCUCUGGAGAAGACCAGAUGUAUGGAUGAUCUGGCAAUUGACGUUGGAAAGCCUCUGAAUGCCAAAAAUCUGAGGAGUAUGGGAAUCAUCAAAGACAUCAGAGUCAAGCCCACUAUGAAUGUAACCUGGGAAGCUCUGAAGGAUCAGAGGAAGAUGCCUCAUGGCCUUGAAAGGUUCUUCAAGAAUGAACCCAGAGAUGCCAUUGCUAUCUACCUUCAGGAUCGUCUGGAUGAAGGCAUUGAUAUCUCUGAUUUCCGCCUUGAAGACUGUCUGGACUCUGUAGAAGAUCUGGUCAGAUACAAAAGAGGUCUUUCUGAGAAGAAGAUAGCUGAGGAAGCAAGGAAGGCAAAGAAAGCCAGACUUGGAGAAACCUCUGGCACCAAAGCUUCAGCACCUCUGAAUGUCUCCUCUGGUAAGUCCAUUCCUCCUGUCUCUUCUGAAUCUGUAAUGGCUUCCUCUAACCCUCUCUCCUCUCAACCAAUAUAUACCACCGCUGAAAUACCACCUUCAACCAUCAGAACCUCUCAACCUCCACCUGUUCUAAAAAUUGCUCGUAAUUUCACAACAACCUCUGACCCUAAUCAACUAUAUCACCACAGCUCUUCCUCAUCCUCUGAAUAUGAAUCACCCCCUUACCUUUCCCCUUCUUCUGACCAAGAGUUCUCUGAACAAGAGUCCUCUGACCAAGAACACUCUGACCCAAACUCCCCAACAAUAGCUGAAAUUUAUGCUAAAAAUUUCGCUCCACAACCCUCAAGACAAUCUGAAGUAACCUCUCCCCUCCAAACUUCACUUCCACCACAACAAACAACAACCUUACCCUCUGAAACUCAACCAUCUGAUCCCUUCACCUCUAAUAUCACUCCACCAUUUAUUCCCGCUGUACCUGGACCAGACUCUGACCCUUUAGACCUAAAUCCACUAUAUGCUUCAUCCCCUAGUCUUCAACCAGACGCAGAUUCUGAACUUCAAGCAGAAUCUGAACCUCAACAAACUGAACCUCAACCUCUAAAUCUCAGCCCUCAAAACUCUCCACCUCAUUCACCUGAACCUGAACCUGAACUUACCAUACCUACCCUUGAGGAGGCCAUUAUACAGGUUGCAGAAGCUUCAGUCCAGAAGAUCAAGUCUCUGGCUAAAAACUCUGAAGUUAGUGAUGAUCCUAAAUCUGUUAGGACACACUGGAACAGAGUCAUUAGUUGGAUGACCUCUGAGUCUUAUAGGCUGAAGAGUAUCUCUGAACAAGUCAGAAAUGGCUACAUCAGAGACUCUGAGGAAAGACUCCAAGAGAGACUGGCUAGAGAAGCUGAGGCCAGAAGGUUAGAGGAAGAGAGACUGGCUAGAGAAGCUGAGGCCAAGAGAUUAGAGGAAGAAAGAUUGGCUAGGGAAGCUGAAGAAGAAGCUAAGAGGUUGGAAGAAGAACGCCUGGCAAAGGAAGCAGAACUUCUAAGGAUUCAGGAAGCUGAAGCCAAGGCUAAGGCAGAUGCAGAAGCCCAAGCUGCUGCUGAAGCUGAAGCUCAGCAGGCUCUGAUUCAGGGGGAGUCUUCCUCUGCGAUCCCUCUGAUUCUUAACACUCUGAAGGAGAUCAAGCAAGAUCAGAAAGAGAUCAAGCAAGAUCAGAGUGAGCUCCGGGCAAGGAUGGACAAGCAAGACGCUCUGAAUGAAAACCUCCAGAAUAUGUUUGCUAUGCUACUACAGAGACUUCCUCCUCCUCCAAACCCUUAGGCACUUAGGAUUUCUUUUGUUUGCCUAGUGUUUUUGCUUCUGUCUUUUCUUUUUUUUCUCUGAUAUUUCUGUUGAAUCUGAUGUUUUGACUGCUGCUUGCCUUUGUGCUUUUGUUUAAUGAAGUGUUUUUCUCUCUAUUAUUUUUUUUAUGUUUUAUGCCUUUUUGAUUAUGCCAAAAAGGGGGAGAAAUUAUUAAAUAGCUCUGAUGAAAAUUAUGUCUAAAACCUUAAGCAUUCUGCAACAAUUAUAGAAAUAGUUCUGAUAUAAAUAGCUCUGAUUAAAUAAUAGCUCUGAUUAAAUAACUCUAACAUUAAAAUUAAGAAAUUGCAGAAAGUUUUCAGAAAUCUCAUUGCUUGGAAAGCUCUGGUAAGAACUUCUGAACUCCCUAGUACUAACUCAGGGGGAGCUUUUGUCUAUCUGAUCUAAUAUUUUUCAUGUUUCAUCUGAUAAUUUUAUUUGUUUUGUCAUCAUCAAAAAGGGGGAGAUUGUAAGAACAAAAAUUGUUCUACAACAGAUUCCAUGAUUUUGAUGAUAACAAAGGAUGAAACCAAAAAUGGCACCCUAACGAAAAGUUUCUAAGUGUGCAGGGUUCUAAAGAAAGAAGAAAUAAAUCUGAUGAUGUCAUCAGAUGCAAAACAAGAUCAGAUGCAAAAUCUCAAGUAUCAGAAGCAUCUAAAGAGGAAUCUCGUUUCAAGAAGCUCUGACUCUGGACAAAACUACAAAGUAUCAGAAGCAUCUGAACAUGAAGUAAAGUCUAGAAGCUCUGACUCUGAACAAAUGCCUUCUGUAAAUUCUGAAGUUAUCAGCGCCAUCUGAACUUUCAAGAGAUAACAUCAGAAGCCAGUUUCUCCAGAUACACAAAGACUCUAAUCAGAAUUGUUAAUCAUGAUGAAGUAACGUUUAAGCCAAGUUAAAGUUCUGCAAAUGGAUUUCCUCAAUUAGAAAGAGACGUUAAUCUCCACUUCCAAGAGAGAAGAUACUAAUUGUGGUAAGUAGUCACUUCUAAGAGAAAAAGUCUACUGCAGAAGCUAUUAAUGGAAUGGCGUAACUACAUCUCAAUAUCCAACAGAUUCAACGCUACUUCAACUCUACUUCAACUCCUAUAAAUAGAGAAGAAAUCUCAUUCAGUAAACACGAAGAAAUCACUAGCCAAAACUAUACUGAAAUCAUAUCACGCUCAAGAAAAACAUCUUUGUUCUUCAAAGAUUUUCACUAAGCUUUUGCUUAUCAAGUGAAAAAUUUGUUCUUAAGUUUGUAAUAUUUGCUUUCUUAGAAGCACUCUAGAUUACACAUCUUGUAUCUAAUUUUUAUUUGAUUUCCUCAAGUGACUCUUUGUAGUCUGUAGACUUGAGAGGACUAAGAGAUUUUCUUCUCUCUUAGGGGUUGUUUGUAAUCUUUCAAGAUUAGUGGAUUAAGUCCUUGUUGAAGGCGAAAUCACCUUGGCCGGGUGGACUGGAGUAGCUUUGUGUUAUAAGCGAACCAGUAUAAAAUCUUUGUGUGAUUUCAUUUUGCAAAAGCGCUUAUUUUUCAAACAAUUCAAACCCCCCUUUCUUGUUUUUCUCACCUUCAAGUUUCACAAUUCUUUGAUGAACUAAAAUGCAAUUGAGGACUCCGCGUCUUUGAGUCAUAAAUCAUGGAGACUCAUAAUGCGUCCAAAAAUGCAUAUCCAAAAUUUAAGUGGCAUUUUCAAAUUUUUAUAGGAUGGUUUUCCAACACUUAUGUAGAGAUAAACAAUUUCGUAAUUAAAGGUCUCUAAGAGGAGUUGAAAUAAAUAUAUUUAAAAAAUUAGUAACAUAAUUAUUUAAGGAAUAAAGUUUUCUAACCAAAAGAAUUUUUCCCUAAUUUUUUUGUGCCUAAUUUAUUUUGCUAACAAAGUAAAGCCCUGAUUAUUGUUACUAAAUUUUAGUAAUUUUCAUUCAUCUCUCAAUUAAUAUCUCUUAUAAUCCUCAUUAACUCUCAAUUAAUGUAAUUCAUAUCUAUCAAAAAAAAUUGAAAAUUUUGUAUCUAGGCUUGGGACCAACUAGUUUAGUGAAUUGCUAAUUUCAUCUUAAGUGUUGGAAAUAUGCCCUAUAAAAUUUUGAAAAUACCCUUUUGAAUCCGAAAAUGCAUCUUCGAACGCACCUUACGCCUCACUAAAACACACCUCAACUUGUUGAUGUUUUUUAUGUAAUUCAAGUGAUGUAACCAGUUAUCUCGGGUAGGUAACCGGUUACAUAAAUGUCUAAAGUUCAAUCAAGUAGCAAAAAUGUGGAGUUUUUGAAGGUGUAACCGGUUAACCAUUUUGGUGUAAACGGUUACCACAAAAGCUGAUUUAAUUCAAUGUCAGGUGUAACCGAUUAUCCAUUUUUGUGUAACAUUACAAGCGUAAUAUUUUGAUUUUUCCUGCUAUUUUACUUGGUCAAUUCAGUUCCCAAUUGUGUUGUAUCUCUUGUAUAAGUGUUUAGAAUGCACACUCAUCUAAGGUUAAUGCAAUAAUAAUCUCUCCCCCUUAAUUCUCCUCUUUCACACUCCACAUCCAAAGUAUCUCCAUCAUUGUUCACCAAACUUGUGGUCUCUUGUUCCAAAAUUUGACAUCAAGAGUCUGGUUCAGAUCCACAAACACCUAGUGUGCAACAUGAAUUAUGUUUCCAAUGAAAGAAUUCCUGCAAACCUACCUAUCUUUGAUGCGAAGAAUUAGGAUAAACGGUGCAAGGAAAUGAAGAUGUUGUUUGGAUACCAAGAUGUUCUUAAAGUAAUCAAUAAGGAUGUUACUCCUCUUAUUCAAAAUGAAACAGAGGCGCAACAAGCAACACAUAAGGAAGAGAAGAAGAAAUAGUUCAAUGUGUUGAUGGCGAUGAUUUUAAGAAAGUUGAUGAUUGUGAAUCGUCAAAGUAAGCGUGAGAGAUCUUAGAGAAGGCAUGUGCAUGGGUUGACAAGGAAAAGGUGGUGAGGUUACAAACUCAUAAACGUCAGUUUGAAUUGAUUCAAAUGGAGGAAAAGGAGAUAAUCAAUGAUUUUGCAAUGAGAAUCACUCGGUUGGUGAAUCAAGUGAAGGCAUGCAAAGAAACUGUUACGGAGUUGUAUGUUGCUGCUAAAAUCUUGUGUUCUUUAACACCAAGAUUUAACAGUAUAGUUGUGGCAAUUGAUGAGUCAAAGGAUCCCGCGACGAUGAGCAAAGAGGAGUUGCAAAGUUCUCUUGAGGCUCAUGAGAAAAAGAUGGAAAAGAGGAAUAACGAUAAGGCAAAGGCGGAGAUUGCUUUGCAAGCUCGUUUCAAUGAGAAGGACAAGAGAUCGAAAGGAAAAUGGCCCAAGAAAAGAAAAGGGAAUUUUCAUAAUUUGGGUGGAAGAGAGUCCUAAAAUUCAAAUGAUUUGACUUGUCAAAGGGGUGAGAGCAGCUACAAUAAACAUGGUGGUCAAGGAAACUUUAGAGGUAGAAGGAAGAAGUUUGAUAAGAGCAAGGAGAUGUGCUAUAAGUGUCAAUGGUUCGUUCAUUUUGCAAAAAAAUACAAUGUGAACAAGAAAGAAUCUCAAGGGAUUAAACCAAGGUUGCAAGAUAAGAGUUUGAUGAAGAGAAUAUAAUUUUGGUCAUGAUCAAAGAAGGGAAUUAUAGCAGCAAACAACUGUGGGACAACAGCGGCAAUAAAUCAAAGAAUGCUAAAAAGGUCGGUUGAAUGAUACGAUUAACCGAUCGCAUGAAGAGGAAGAUACCAUGAUGAGUUUGAAAGGAGUUCAAUGUAGUGAUGAGUGGUAUUUGGACUUGGGUUGUUCAGCUCAUAUGACAGGAAUAAAGGAUUGGUGUGUCAAAAUCAAUCGUGCCAUGAAGAAUAAACUAAAGUUUGCAGAUGAAACCACCCUAAUGAUCGAUGGGAUCGAUGAUGUUUUGAUCAUGAGAAGGGAUAAUGGACAUUACUUAAUCACAAAUUCUUGUACAUUUUUGGAAUCAAAUUUAACCUUCUAAGUAUUGGCCAAUUGCUUGAGAAGGAUUCCAAGAUUCACAUGGAAGACAAUGGGUUGUGCGUUAUGGAUAUAAGAGGAGGCUUGGUCCUUAAAGCGCAUAUGGCUGCCAAUAGAACCUUUAAGGUUGAGUUGAAGGUUAUAGAGUAUAAAUGUCUUGCUACUACAUCAAGUAGACAACAGUGGAUAUGGCACUAUCGUCUUAGACAUCUCAAUUUUAGAGAUCUCAAAGACUUUCAAAAGAACAUAAUGGUAACAGGGCUGCCAUUGAUCAACAUACUAGCUGAAAUUUGUGAAGAAUGUGUGCAAGUGAAGCAACAUAAGGGAAAAUUGAGCAAGUAGACUCUAUUGGUGGAAAUAUGUAUUUUGUCACAUUUAUCGAUGAUCAUAGUACAAAACUAUGGACAUACCUAAUCAAGAUAGAUGACAAUGUAUUUCAUGAUCGUCCGUCAUUGCAUAUAUUUAGUCGAAGAAUCAGACAAAACAAGUGAAAGUUAAGAUAAAAUGAAGAAGAAUAAGGAAAAAAUAUCUAAGCAUGGAAACUGGGGACUUAUUGAAAUUUUGAGUAAAAAAGGGAGCAAAAGUGUGCAACCACUGGAAUAAUCAUGCGCACCAUCACGUAGCAUCGUGCACACAAUGGGGUCUUUAAAGUUGCAUCGCGCAUGCGAUACAAGGAAUCACGCGCGUGAUAAAUACUUUUUAUGGGCUUUUCAGACGCGUUCUGGUCCAUUCUAACGCCUUUAAAAGGGGAUUUUCUGAACUUUCACAAGAGUUACAAAAUUGGGAGAUCUAGGCACUACUUUGAGAGCACAAGUGGUGAUUUUUAUAACAUUAGAAGUUAUUGGAGACCAUUACUUCAACGUAUUUCACAUGUUAUUUUCAUCUAUCAAUUAUGAUAUUUUUAAUUGCAUUAUGAGUAGCUAAGCUCCUCUAGAUUAGGUUGUAUACUGAUGAACCUAUUUCUAUAUUGUUGGAAUCUAUGUUGAUUUAACAAUUGUGUGAACCUUUUGAACUAUAAUUCCAUUCAAUUGCUUCUUGUUCAUAAUGCUUUUUAUGUGAGAUGAUAUUUUAAUAUGAUUUUGGGAACAUAAGGAAUACUGACCAUUAGUCUAUGUGUUGGACCUAGGGAAAUUGUUGUACUUACGCUGGUUGAAUAGGAAUAGGAGACCCUGAGUAGUGGCGUAGAGAAUUAACGCUUUAUACAUCGCCUAACCCUGCUUACGCUGGAGGACUAAGGAUAAAAAGCUCUGAGUGGUGGUUAGUGAGUUAUUUCAUGAGGGAUCAACUAUAACAGUUUUGUUAAUUCGUCGUGGUGUUAUAGUGAUAAGACCAUUCGUACAAGACAUCAAACAUCAACAAUAGAGGAAUAUGAGAUUUUAAAACACAACUUGGCCGCUUUCGUGAUAUUGUUUAAUUGUUUAUUUACUUUUUGCACAGAAACUCAACCCCCCCCCCCCCNNNNNNNNNNNNNNNNNCCCCCCCCCCCCUUUACUAGUUUUUUAUAAAUUGCACACAUUUUGUCUUGCUUGAACGAAGUUCACGUGGAUUCGAUCUUUUUAUUACUUCGACGAUGUCAAUACACUUGUCGAGAAGUCAUCAAGUUUUUGGCGCUUUUGCCAGGGACUAUUAAUUUUUCAUCAAGGCGAUGUUUGUGCAAUUUUUUUUAGUCUUUAAAUUUUAUGUUUUAUUUUCUUGUUUCUCAAAAUGCUAUUGAGGUAUUUUCUAUUUGUGUAUGUACCGUUCAGGAUCAACAUUAAUACCAUUGGAUCCAAAAAUUGAAAGAAACGCACAUGCUCUCAGAAAAGCUGUUAGAGGAGCAACUCUGGAAAGAGGAAUACUAGAAGAAGAGUAAUUAUCAAGUUAGUCAUACUCUGAAGAUGAAGCUGUAAUGGCAGAUGCACAACCCCUAACUAUGGGGGAUUAUUAUAAAUGAACCGAUGAAGGACACUUCUCCAGAGGGUUUGUACCGGUAGACCCUUCUAACUUUGAUAUUAAAAAUUAUGUGCUUUAAGGUUUGAGAGAAAAUUUGUUCGGCAGGAACACGAUUAGAGACCUAUGGGUGCAUCUUACACACUUCUAUGAAACAACUUCAAUGUGAAAAUCAAUUGAUGCCACUGAAGACCAGGUUAAAUUGAGGUUGUUUGGGUUCUCACUAAUUGGAAGGGCGAAGAUUGGUUACUUUUCCUCCCGAAUGGAACGAUACGAACAUGAAAGGAAUUAGAGGAUAAAUCCCUGGAAAGAUUUUUCACUACUACUCAGUUUACCGAGCGCUAAGCAGAAAUUGUGAGGUUUGAGCAGUAGGAAAUUGAGUCACUUUAUGACUCUUGGGAAAGAUUCAAACUUUUGUUACGCAGAUGCUCGAAUCACAACAUGAAUAAUAUAGAGCAGAUGCAAAACUUCAUUAAAGGUCUCAAAGUCAAACUCACGUAUUUUUGGAUGCUUCUACGAGAGGUACUAUCUGAAAAAUGAAUGAACCAUGGGUAAAAGAUAUCAUUGAGAAAAUGUGUAUAAUUGAGUACCGAUCCAAGAACGAAAGGUCGAUCAAGAUGGGAACUGUGGGCACGCCUAAAGGUAUGUUACCUAUUGAUACCCACAUUGCUCUUUUAGCUCAGAUUGAAUUAUUAAAUAAAAAGCAAGCUGGAAGAAGCUUAGUUAAAGCUAACGUAAGUCAGGUACAAGCACUUAAAAGCGAUUUAUAUGGAGGAUAACAUGCGAAUGGAAGUUGUUCAUUGGAAGGGACAAGUGAGGAGGUAAAAUUUUAUAAUUUUUAAAAAAAAUAACUUGUAUUCAAACACAUAUAAUCCGGGUUAAAAAGACCACCCAAAAUUCCUUUGGAAUAAUAAUCAAAAUUCAAAUGCUAACUAAGGGAUGCAACAAAGCCAACAAGCUCUGUUUCAAAGAAAUCCAUCACAAAUGGUAGAGACCUUGAAAAUUUUCAUUAAGGUCACUCAAAGUAGCUUUGCUAGGGUAAAUAAGACCCUUGAAGAAAUGAGUAGAAACUAGGAUGCGUCUAUCAAAAUUUUGGAGAUGAAGAUUGGUCAAUUAUCCAGACAAGUAGCUACUUUUCCAAGCUCAAGUGGAGGAUUCACCAGUAACAUUGUUGAUAACCCUAAGAAUGAUAACCCUAAAUAUAGGUUUAGGGGAAAUUACUGAAAAGGAUAAGGAGGAGAUAGUUAAAGAACGUGUGGUUAAGAUAGAUGAGGGUACAAAUCAAGGUGACCAAGAGGAAAGAGGAGACAUCAUUGAUCAACUUAUUGACAAAAAUUCUCCUCGGGGGAGAACAAAGAAGCAGAUCAUGACUGAACCAAAUCCUCCUUUACCAGAUCACGUAAAACCACCGUACCCAAUAAUUAAAAAGAAAGUGGUUUAAGAUGAUGAAGCGAGAAUGUUUGCAAAGUUCAAGGAAAUUCUAGCUACUCUCCGGGAAAGUAUUUCGUUCCAUGAAAUUUUAGAACUAAUGCCUAAGUUUGCUAAAUUUAUGAAGGCGUUACUAAAUGGGACGGAAGAGAAAAGGAUCAAGGAACAUGUAAACAUGACCGAAAAGAAUGAUAUGGUAAAACCUCAAUCCUUACAACCUAAACUAAAAGACUCAAGUAAAUUUAUGAAGGAGUUAUUAAAUGGGACGAAAGAGAAAAGGAUCAAGGAACAUGUAAACAUGACCGAAAAUGAUGAUAUAGUAAAACCUCAAUCCCUACAACCUAAACUAAAAGAAUUAGGUAAGUUUACUAUUUCCUAUAAUAUUAGUGGAUUCAAUAUUCUGCAUGCUCUAUGUGAUAUGGGAUCUAACAUAAAUGUCAUGCCACCGAAAACUGUCAAAGAAUUAAAAGUGGGUGAGAUCACACCGAGUAACAUGACUCUCAGUCUAGUUGAAUUGUCUAUUACUCAUUCAAUUGGUACUUUACGCGACAUAUUAGUACCUAUCGACGACUUAUUGUUUCCUAUAGAUUUUAUAGUGCAUGAUACAAAAGAAGAUUCGGGAGGAUCUAUUAUUCUUGGACAUCCAUUCUUGGCAAUCGGGAAAGCAAAAGAUUGAUGUGUAAACUGGUCAACUUAUCUUGAAGUCAAAUAAAAGGAAUGUGGUUUUCAAGGUAUAUGACUGGACACCUUAUGUGGAUAAUUUGGAUACUUUCUACUAUCUGGAUGAAAAAGGUAGGAAAGUAGAUAAAGGAACAAUGAGAAAGAAAGUGACAGGCGUGAGGGUGUCCCUUGCGCCUGACGUACCUUAGACAUGGAUUAUCAAGCUAGUGAUGUUAAAAAAGUGUUUGAUGGGAGGCAACUCAUCAAUAAGAAUUUAUUUUUUUAUCAUAGUGAAUAUUAAUUUUUCUAACCUUGUUAAUUUUUGUGCUAUGUUAUUGGAAGAGAAAAUAGGUGAAAGAAGAAAAGAAAGAAAAAGCAAAAGGGAAGAAAAUAGAAAAAGAAAAGAGAGAGGAAAGUUUCAUCCCCCAGAAUCAUCACGUAUGAUAAUAUAAACUAGUUCUUUACAAUAAUAAAAUUUGAUAUUUAUUUAUACAAACACAAUUAUAUAAAGAGAAUAACACACAAAUCACACAUGAUAAUUUUAGAAUAAUUAUACUCUAAUAUUUUUUGAGUCGUGAUAUAUCCUCUUCUUAAAUAUUUGAAAGUUGAAUCUCUCUCACUAAUCUCUAUUCCCCUAUUUAUUUUAAGAAUAAACAUAUUGAAUUAAUAAAACAUAAUUGCACCUUUCUUAAAGGUUAUACAAACAACUACUAAAGUUGAAAAAACUAAAGAGAGGUCAACUCAAUCUUUAUCAAAUUAAAUUAAAGUUUAUUAUAAAACACAAACAACUAGUUCAUUCAAAUGAUAACUUGUUUAGUACACAAGUAAGAUCUUACUUAAUACAUAGAAAUAAGAUCUUACAGAAUAUAGAGAUUAAAAACAUAGGAAUAACAUGAAAAGCUUUUAAAAUGACAUAGACAUUGAUUAACAAAGAUAUGAACUAGUUUCGGGUAUUUCUUAACCAUCCGUCAAGGUAAACUUGUUUGGAGUCAGGGGUGGAUUUUGCUUUCUCGACUCGGAUAUCUUUCAACCAUCCAUCAAGGUAAACCUGGUUGUUGUCAGAGGUGGAUUUUACUGUCUCGGCUCGGAUAUCUUUCAACCAUCCAUCAAGGUAAACUUGUUUUGGAUCAGAGGUGGAUUUUGUUUUCUCUGCUCGGGUAUCUUUCAACCACCCAUCAAGGUAUACUUGGUUGGAGUCAGGGGUAGAUUUUAUUCUCUCGUUUCGAUAAUCUUUCAACCAUCCAUCAAGGUAAACUUGGUUGGAGUCAGACAUGGUUUCUGUUUGCUUUGCUCGAGUAUUUUUCAACCAUCCAUCAAGGUAAACUUGGUUGGAGUCAGAGGUAGAUUUUUCUUUCUCAGCUCGGGUAUCUUUUAACCAUCCAUCAAGGUAAACUUGUUUGGAGUCAAGAUUUUUCUUUCUCAGCUCGGGUAUCUUUUAACCAUCCAUCAAGGUAAACUUGUUUGGAGUCAGAGGUGGAUUUUGUUUUCUCUGCUCGGGUAUCUUUCAACCAUCCAUCAAGGUAAACUUGAUUGGUGUUAGGCAUGGACUUUUCUUUCUCAACUCUGAUAUUUUUCAACCAUCCAUCAAGAUAAACUUGGUUGGAGUCACUUGUAGAUUUUGUUUUCUCAACUCGGGUAUCUUUCAACCAUUCAUCAAGGUAAACUUGGUUGGAUUCAGAGGUGGAUUUUGCAUUCUCUGCUCUGGUAUCUUUCAACCAUCCAUCAAGGUAAACUUGGUUGGAGUUAGGUGUUGACUUUUCUUUCUCAACUCUGCUAUCUUUCAACCAUCCAUCAAGAUAAACUUGGUUGGUGUCACCUGUAGAUUUUGCUUUCUCAGCUCGAUUAUCUUUCAACCAUCCAUCAAGGUAAACUUGGUUGGAUUCAGAGGUGUCUUUUGCUUUCUUUGCUCUGGAAUCUUUCAACCAUCCAUCAAGAUAAACUUGAUCGGAGUUCUGGGAGGAUUUGGUUUUCUCUGAUCGUGUAUCUUUCAACCAUCCAUCAAGAUAAACUUGGUUAGAGUUAGCAAUGUGUUUUCGACUCUUCAAUGGAUUUUUGAGCCAACCAUCAAGGUAAGGUUGAUCAGCUUGUAUUUCUUGUACAUUCUCUUGCUGAAGUUUGAUAUAUCGGGCAAAGCUUCCUUGUCCAUUCUAUAAUACAAUUGAAUAAAUGGAUAUUAGUGAGUUAUUUUUGGAUGGUAUAUAUGAUUACAAAAACAAAAUUAUGUGUUUUAUGAGACACAUUAUGUUACAUAAAUAAGACACAUUCAUUGUAUAUUUCAGAUGGAUAUAGAAUGCGAAAUAAAAAUCAAAGAAAAACAAUUUUUUAAAUUUCAUUGCCGCAUAGAAAAUAUUAUUUUGUCAAAUUAAAUAGAACAACUUGAUUAAGUGAAUGAUGAAAUCAAAUCAAAUAAAGAUGCAAAAUGAUAGAUUGUGAUAAAUAAAUGAUGAAAAAUAUAUGUGUAAAAGAUACAAGAAUGGAUGCAUAACUUACAAUCAAUAAGAGCAUGAUAAAAGGGAGGAGAGACAAAACAUCUUUGUUUGUCAUUUCUUUAAUGUUAUGAUUUUGUGGGAAAAUUGUUUUAAUGUAAAAAGAUGUAUUGAAAUGGAAGUGAAUUGUGCUAUUUAUAAGUGAAUGAAAAGAAAAACUACAUUAAGGACAUUGAGACUUUGGUUGGCAAGAUUAUUUUUUUAAAUAUUUAGUUUAAAUUAUUUUUUAAAUGUUUAGUUUAAUUGAUAAGUUUAUAUGUCUAAGAAAGAUCAAUUUACUAAGAUUUAUUAUUUACAAGAUCUAUUAGGUGUGUUGUUUUGAGUUAUAAAAAAUAUUAAAAAAAUUGUUUGUUUGAUAUAUUUUUUUAAUUAGAAGCUCCUAACUAAAUCCUCUUAGUUUAAAAUAAAUAAAUUUUAGAACUGCUACUGCAAUUAUUUUUAUUUUAAAAUUAAAAAUGAUUUUCUAAAAAUCCUUAAUAAAAACAUAUUAAAAUGACAAAGGUGAUUUUGUUAAAUGUUAAACAAACAUUUAUUUUGAUAAGUUAUUUCAAAUAACUUAAAAUUUCAUAAAUUUAUUUUAAUUUAUAAUUAAAGUGGUAAUUAUGAUAAUCUCGCCUCUUGAGUUCUAAUAUUUGAGCUAAUAGUAUAAAUAUGUUUUAGUUGAAUUAGAAUUUGCAUUAGUGAUAGUUUCAAUUUUACAAUUAAUUAGACUAAAAUAUUGAUGUUCGUCAUAUAUAUAUAUAUAUAUAUNUAUAUAUAUAUAUAUAUAUUAAAUAGUAAUUAUAUAUUAUAAAUUUUAAUUUUGGGAAAAAAAUAUUAUUUCAAUAUUUUAAAAUUUUAAUAAUUAUUGUUUUAUAAAAUUAAUUAUAAUGAGUAUAAUAUUUUAAUUUUAUUAUCAUCAAAUAUACCCUACAUCAAAAUUCACAAACUUUAAAUAUAAAUAUCGGGAUCCACUUAAUUGAAUUGGAAUUUAAACAUCAAAAUUUAGACAAAUGUUAAAUUUUGAAGCACUUGGUUUUUGAAUCAUGACUCUUCUACAACCAACUCCUAGGGACUUACUACAUAGCCAACAAUGAAUCCAAAAUAGUUUCACAAGAAACACUAAAAUACUGUGUUGGCCUUUGCAUGUUUAAGAUGUUCACAUGUAGCUGGGGUUUGCGUGCUUAUGAGCUUACCUAAUAGUAAGUUAAAAAAACAAUAUAUUAUUAUACUGACCAGUCUAAAGAGAAAUAGAUAAGUUACUGUAUUUGUUAUUAUAAUCAAAUAUUAUCUAAAAAAGAAAUAAAUUAUAAGGAAUAUGUUUUCAUUAUUUUUAUCUUUAUUUAAAGAAUAUAAAUAUUUUUUAAUUAAUGAUAAAUAAUUGAUUUUAAAUGUGAUUACGGUUUAUAUCUUUAUCUAAGAAAAUAAAUGAUAAAAUGUGAAUACUCAUAUCUAAAAUUAAAUAUUUAUCCAAUUAUGUAGGCCAGCCUCAUAUUUAUUGUAAAAAUUUUAACAAAGUUUAAAAUAAUGAAAAUUAGAAUAAUGGUAUUCCUACAUUAAAUCUUACAUCAAAUACUUACAUUAAAUAUUUUUUACCGUAUUUAAACGAUGAAUAAUAUUUUUAUUUUUAAUAAAAAAAUAUUUAUAUAAAAAUGUUUUUAUUUUUAAAAUUAUUUUUAUAAUAAAAAUAUAAAAUUUAUCACAAAAUAAUUUUAUUAUCGUAUUAACUAUAAAAAUAUAGGUUAUAAAUCACAUAUUUCACUUAUAAUUCAUUAACCAGUAAAAUACAUAAUAUUAAUCAAAUUAUGAUAUUAAAAUAUGAAAUAUAUAAUUUGCUUAAUUAUUAUAUUUUAUAUUUUAAUGUCACAAUUUAUUUAUAUUAUUUAUUUUAUUAAUUGAAUAUAAUAAUAAGUAAAAUAUAUGGUUAAUCAUCUAUAUUUUUAUGAUUAAUACAAUAAUAAAAUUGAUUAGUGACAAAUUUUAUAUUUAUAUUACAAAAAUAAUUAUAAAAAUAUAUCAAAAACGAGUUUAAGACAACGUAGGAAAAAGUGAAGUGACACUCAAAUAUUAUUUGCUCAUUAAGCAAUCAGUUAAAAUUAAAGUGAAUUAACGAAUUAAGCAUAAAGUUUCACACAAUCAAAAUUAGGGAACAAUAAAUCAAUCGAACAAAACAAAACUACUAAGUUUUGAGUGUAAAAUUUGGUGUAAUAUUAAAAAUUAAAAAAAAAUUGAGGUUUAUAAGAUGUAAAAUUAUUUAUUAAACUCUUUUAAUAAAUUUAAUAUUAUGAUAAUUUAUUAUGAUAAAUAAUAUUUAAAAUAAGAAAAGAUUGAGCUUUUAAAGGAUGAAAUUCUAGUCAUUAGAUUAAAGAAAACAUCACCAAAACCUUAUUUCACAGAUGAAAUCGACUACAUAUAUGAUAUAUCAAUUUUCACGCUAAUAUUCUAUCAAUCACCAUAUUUUAUAGCCAUUAGACUAUUUAAUCAAAAUUAUUCAUAAUAAAUUUCAUUUGAUAUUUACUUUUUAAUAGAUAAUAAAGUAGAUAUAUUUAAUCUUUAUUAAAAAAUUAUUAAACAUUAUUGGUAUUAAAUAUGAUUUUAUUAAUUUUAAUUUUGAUAUAAUUAAUGGAUAUAAGUAUUGGCUCAAGAUAUAUCAAAGCCUUUGCCAAAUUUUUAACAAAGAUUUUAAUAAUAAAAAUUAUGAGUGUAAUAUUUAAAAUAAAAAAUUGAGCUUUUUAAAAUGUAAAAUUAUUGAUUGAAUUAUCAUAAAUCAGUUAAGUGUGUAUUUAUGCAAGAUGGGACAUCCCAUUUGCAGGGGCACAAAUUCAACCCACAACAUCUCACUUUUUAUCUUGGAAAAUUCCAAUCAAUAAAUUACUUGAUCCAAAAAAAUCAUAGUAAAUCUUGUUUGAUAUUUAUUUUCAAUCAAAUAUAUGUAAUCCUUAAUGAAACCUUAAACAUUAUUGAUUUUAAAUAAGAUUUUAUUAACUUUAAUUUUAUACCAUUAAUAGAAGGACUAUAUUCUGGAACGAAUUAAUAUAUUUUCGUUAUUCUUAUUUUUAUUUAAAUAUUUAAAUAUUAUUUAAAUUAAUAAUAAAUAAUUGGUUUUAAAUGUGAUGAAGUUUAUAUCUUUAUCCGAAAAAAUAAACGAUAGUGAAUAUUUAUAUUAAAAAAUAACACAAUACACUUAAAUAUUUAAUCUCCUUAACCUAUCUAAAUAUCUAGGCCGGCAUAAGACAUAUUGAAGUUUAGUGUAAAAAAUUUAACAAAGCUUUUAAUUAUAAAAAUUAUGACUGUAACAUUUAAAAUAAAAAAAAUUGAACUUUAUUAUUAGAUGUCAAAAUAUUUAUUAAACACUCUUAAUAAGUAUUAAAUAUAAAUUUAUUAAAUUUAUUUUUGAUACAAUUAAUGAAUAUAAGUACGGGCUCAAGAGAUAUACACGCCUUUGAUAAAAAAUUUAACAAAGAUUUUAAUUAUAAAAAUUAUGAAUAUAACAUUUAAAAUAAAAAAGUUGAUCUUAAAAGAUGUAAAAUUCUUUAUAAAAUUAUUAUAAUAGUUUUUGAUUAAUUAAUAUGCACAGUCAAUAUCAUUUUUUUAUUAUUAUUAUUAUUAUUAUUAUUAUUAUUAUUAUUAUUAUUAUUAUUAUUAUGCGUCGGUGUACAACUCAUAAAAAAAGACGUCAAUCAUAAAUAUAUAUUGGUACAGUGUCGUCAAUUGGAUUGACGCAUCCUCGUAGGUGUUAUAUGCAGGGAUGAAGCUAGAGAUUUUGAACUGUAGGAGCAAUAUAUUAAUAUAUAAAUUUAUUUCUAUUUAUUUUUAAAUCAUAAAUAUAUAUUUAAUUUAUUUUUAAAUCAUAAAUAUAUAUUAUAUCUAUUUUUUAAGAAAUCUAUCUCUAAAACAAUUUUUAUUAAUUUUUUAAAAUUUUAAAAUUUUAAAAUUUUGUAAAUUUUAAAAUUUUAUUAUCAAGAAAAAUAUUUUUUUAUGUAUUUUUUAUGAGAUCAUAAUAUUAACAUAAAAUUCUAUAAAUCAAUUUUUUUAAAGAUCGAGGAAAAAAUUAUUUUAAAAUUAUAACAAGAAAAACAAUUCAAUAUAUUUCAUCUGACAUGUUUUAAUUUAAUUAUUGAAAAUAAAAAAUUCACUAUAUUUUUGGACAAUAUCCUAAAUAAAUAUUCAUAUACUUUAUUAUUUUCAUCUAAUUUUUAGUAAUAUCUUCAUAAUAAUAAUAUUAUUUAUAUAAAUUUAAAAUAAUAUAAAUUUAUAUAUAUAUAUAUAUAUAUAUAUUUAUAUAUAUUAUAUAUAUAUUAAUAUAUAUUAUAUAUUAUAUAUAUAUAUAUAUAUAUAUAUAUAAUAUAUAUAUAUAUAUAUAUAUAUAUAUAUUAUAUAUAUUAUUUAUAGUAGGGACCAUUUGUCUUAUGCUAUUUUAAUUUGUUAUUUCUUAAUUUCCCCGUCUAUUUCAGUGUUUGGAUUAAAAAAAGGGGGGGGUCGGGGGUUCCCUCUUGGGGGUGGGUUUAGUAUUUUAAUGUUUUUUUACUUAAUAUUUCUUUUGUGUUUUUCACAUUCUUCUAUGUCUUAGAUUGACGUCUUCUUUAUUUUGAAAGUGGGUUACUCUCAGAAAUAAUUGAAAAAGUAAAUUAUUUUAGAUAUCUAUUUGAAAAGUUAGAAAAUCUUAAAUAUUAUUCAUUUUAAAUAAUAUUUUAUUAAUAUAAUUUUUAAUACCAUUAAUAGAAGGACUAUAUUCUGGUAUCAACCGAAAGGAUUAUAUUAUUGGACUAUUUUAAAUUUCCUAUUAUAUUGUUGUCGUCUAUUAUCAAUUUAUUUUAUCAAUAAAUCACUAUUUGAAAUUUUAUUAGUAUUUAAGUCUUUAAAUUCAUCUACACCUUUGACUUCUACUAUUAAUUUUCAUUUUCAUUUUUUUAAUGUUUAUAUAACUGGUACAUUGUUAACUUGUUUAUUUAAUAAACAUUAAGCAAUAUUUUUAAAUUAACUUUUUAAUUUAUUUUUAUAAAUUUAUCUAAAGUUCCCUUUUAUAAUUUAAUUAAAAUUUCAACUCUCUUUUUUUAAUUUCUAAUUUUUUUUAUUCAAAUUUUUUUAAUUGACAUUACUCUAAAUAACAUAAUAAAACAAUUUCCACAAUAAACACAAACAAAAAAAAAAUUCAAAAAUAAGAUAAUUGAUUAAAUAUAAAUGAUUUAAAUUAAAAGUAAAUAAAAUAAAAUUGCAUAAAUAAAAUAUAAUUUUAUCCUUUUACAAUGCUAGAGAGGACAUACACUUUAUCAUAGAAGUAACGAUUAAUUAAUGGAGAUGAUGAAUUAACAUAUUUUAUACUCUCAUAUACACAUUUUAGGUUGGAAAUGAUUUGAUAUAAUCCUUUAUCUAACCUGUUUAAAUUUUAAUGGGUUGAAUUUGUCGUUCAACCCACAAUUUCAUUGUCAAAAUUGACAGAAACCGACUUGUUUAUUUAAGGGUUGUGUUCGCGAUGUUUUAAAUAAAAAUUAUUUUUUUAUAUAUUUUUUAAGAUAUAAAAAAUUUAACCCAAUUCAAAUUAGAUGAAACACAUCAUAUAAUGUCUAAUAAAGUUCAUCAACACGACAUAACACUCGAUAAUAGUAUUAAAUUCUAAUAGUAUCAAUGUUAAAUUAUUUUAAAACAAUUAUUUUAAUUAACUCUUUAAUCAUAACAUUUAUUUAUUAUAUUUUUAUAAUACAUUAUAAUAAAUAUAUUAUAAAUAUUCUUAUUUUUAAUUAGAAAUAUAUAAUGAUAAGUUAAUUAAAUAAUUAUGGUUUGUGAAAAACAAAAACAAAAUCAACGUCAAAGUUAUAUGCUUCAACAAUUUAUAUAAUGACUCAUUUUUAAAUAAAAUAGCUUUAAAAAUUAAAAGUUUGAAAAAUAAUAGUUGAUAUAUUAUAUAUUUUAUUUAUUUUUAUGUUGACAAUAUAAAACAUAGACAUUAAUUUUAUUCUUUAACCAUAAUUUUUAUAAUAUAUUAAAAUAAAAAGUAGUUAAAAUUAACUAAUAAAAUUAAUUAUAAAUAGUUUAAAUAAUUUAAUUAUUAUCAAAUAAAAAUAUAUAAAAUAUUUAUUUAGUAAAGAAUAUUAAAACGAAUAACAAAUUAUAUGAGAUGAUAUGACUUUUUUAUAAUCUUUUGUUUUCUUAAGUUAAAUUAUUUAGUAGAUAAAAAAAAAAAUUAAAAUUGAUAUAUUUCUCUCUCUUCUUUAAAUGAUAUUUUUUUUUCUAUUUCUUACCUUUUAAUAGUUGGAUUAAUCAAAUGGUUUAAAAUUGCACAUGAGAGAGGGCAUAAGAGAAAAAAUUGGAGAGGAUCCAAUUCCGAUAAAAAGAUGUGGUAAAUUUAUGAGUAGUUUAAUAAUUUAUACAUAUUUUUAGCCUUAUUAAUUGUCACUUCGUUGAAAAAGAAAAAGGAAAUAAUAAUAAUGAUAGUGAUAAUAAUUAAAUAAUAUUGAAUUUUUUGACAAAUAAUGUUAUUAAAUAUUAUUGAAUAUAAUAGAUGAAAGAGAAAAAAAAAUGAAGAUCUUUGUCUGGCUUACCUCCUCGUUGAAUAGGGUAUGCUAACUAUUAAUAUGCCAAAGCCUCUUUAAAAAAUUAAACAAAUCAAUUAUAGGAUCCGAUAACUAUUAAGGAAUUUCUUAUGUCAUCAUAUGAAAUGGAAAAACUAUACAAAAUUUAAAAUAUUCAUUCAAGUUUAAAGAUGCAUCUUCGAAUACACAUUUGUAUCACCUUAUGACGCACUAAAUGAGCGACACCCUAAAGUAAAAUAAAAUCUUAUUCCAAAGAUACAUCUCUGAGUAUUUUGAACAAAUAUAUUGAUAUUUAAGCAAGCGUCCUCAGCAUGACCAGAUACCUGUAUCAUACACUCAGUUGCUGUCGUAUCUUGUCCAGUAAGGGGCAAUUGCGCCAAAAGAGAUUCCGCAUGCAACUCCUCCCUAAAAUCACAAGCAUAAUCCUAAUGUGCCUUGUUCAUUUCAUGUCGGAUACAUAGGGCAUUCUAUAGAGGAUUAUUUGGUCCUCAAGGCCAUAAUGCAAGAGUUAAUUGACCAUAAGGUUUUGUCAUUCUUUGACGCAUGACCCAAUGUCAUAAACAACCCGUUGCCAGACCACUGUGGACAAAUAGUGAAUGCAGUUAGUGGCGAAGAUUGCUCAGAUUCAGUUGCUUCUUCAGAGGAGUAUCGAUGCUAGCAAUAUCAUAUUGAUUCAAUCAUGUAUCAUUUGUAAUCCUUUCUUGUUUUUUAAAUGUUGUUCAUUUGUAACUUGUCUGGUUUUUCAGAUGAUAAUAAUAAUGAAAUAAACGUGCAUGUUUUGCUUAAAUCCAUUCGUGUCCACUCAUAUUUUAUUUUAUCAGUAUCAAACUGUUUGUCGAACAAAAUCAAAAGAGAAUGAUGCAAUUAAAAAUACGCAAGAUCGCUGCCUGUAUGGUUUUGAAUAAGAUCGUGCUGAUGAUGUAAGGCAUUGUUCAAUCCCUAAACACCGGAGAUAUAAGGAAGAUAAUCCCUAGUCAACCCCUUUGGGUAUUGUAAUAGGAGUUUCUUUCUUGAACACAUAAAACCCUCAUGCUUAACCAGGGGCAGAGUAUUCUUCAGUUAGUUUAGACUUGCAUUCAAAUUUAAGAAGGACAAUAUCUCAUCCAGUGAUCAAUCAUAUCAUAUCCCUCUCAAGAGGAUGGAAUCAUAAAUCCAGGAUGGUUAUCCCUUACCCAUCAAAAAGAGUGAGAUAAUCACGACUCGUGCAACAAAUCGAGAAAGCUGUGUCACAAGGUUUUCUCUAGUACAAAAAUAAAAGAUGAAACAAAAUUAAAAGCCCGCUAAGUCAAAAGCUUGAAAACAAGAUUGACUUAGGCAAAAGUCAGGGUAUCCCGGUGGGAUGCAGACCCAAAGGAUCAGCCUAGGAAAAAAUAAGGGUAAACAAAACAAAAGAAUUAGAGGAUCAAUACCAAAAUUCGUAGCGAGAGCAAAUCCCUGUGACUAUAAACAAAAGCAGAAGGCGAGUGGCUAUCGCUCUAAAUUCUCGUGGAUUCCUUAAACCAUCAUUGUUGAUAUUCAAAAUCCUUUCUGAAAGACGAACGCUUAUUUUAAGCUAAUUGAAUAUAGAACUAGAUAACAUCACACAGAAUGGGUGGGUUAGAAUAGGUUUUGAGCCUUAUAUCCUUUCUUUCUGAAACCGUGAACUAGGCCAAGUUACAACCCUCAAAAGACCUAAUUGAAGUAGGGUUUAUUUCAAAAGCAUACUAUGGUAAGAUCGCGUUAAGCUGACUCCUUAAGAUUUUCUUGUCAUAUGUUUGAUACUGAUAUGGCAUUCUAAACAGUGAUUUGUUCACUAGAUGUCAUAAUCUUAGUGAACACACUUGAGUUUUCAAAACUUGCAUGAGCAUGACAUUACAAUUAUCAUUUUAAAAAUGAGCGUUUUACAUGCGAACAUGCAUUUGACACCAAGGAAGCUUACAAUGGGAAAGUUGAUCAAAUUCCUAAUAUCCCAUAGCUCAAAUCUCUUCAAGAGCCCGUCAAUCUAAGGCACCAUGCCAAGAUUUUGCAAAUCUCUCUGAAUCAGCUGUAUAAGGGAAAAGUUUAAUUCGAAGUUCAUAUUGGGGAAGGCCACCUCAAGAGCAUGAGAAGUCAAUCACUCCUAAGAUAAUUAACUAGGAGGAUAUAGUUUCAAGAUGCUGGGGCAAGCCAGUUUGAGAUACUCAGAUGACGAGAUCACUCUAAUUUGUAAUUGGAGAAAUUGGUGCAGAUAUCCAAUACAUUGGGGCAGAGGCAGGCUACGCAGGUACAAGCUCUCUCCAUGUUCUAGACAUAAUCCAGAGGUGUGACAACAAUUUUUCAGCUUGAAGUAGGUUCGAAGAAUCACGUCUGGAGGAUACCAUAUCCUAGCCAAAAAUUUCCACCUCCCUCUAUAUGAGCACCUGGAUUAACCAUUGCAUAAAUCAUUAUCAUGAAUAAAUCACGUCGCUUCACUCAUGCAUACCAUUCAUCUAUCAUAGCAUGAAGCCGUGUGUGAGAAUCAAAGGAAUUAAAGCCCAGUAUUUUAUUGGCAUCUCCAAAUUCCAAACUUGCCUGGUACCUUUUUAAACCAUCUAGUUUGACAAUUCUUCCAAAAUCCAAUUUGCUUGGCGUCUUUUAAGCCCAGUUUGCUUGGUAUCUUUUUUCGACCUUUAGGGUCGAUGAUCCUCUUUUCCAACAUUCAUGGUUGAGGAACCUUUUUUCAAUCUUCAGGAUUGAUAACCUUUUUCCAAUCUUUAGGGUUGACGAUCUUUGUUUCUAACCUUCAUGGUUGUUGAAUCUUUUUCCCACCAUUAGGGUGAUGAUAGACUUUGUUUCCGGCCUUUAAGGUUGAUGAUCCUCUUGCUUUCAACCUUUGCGGUUGUUGAAUCUUCUUCCAACCAUCAUGGUUGUUGAAUCUUUUUCCUACCUUUGUGGUUGUUGAAAAUUUUUCCAAACCUUCUUGGUUGAUGAACUUUUUCAAUCUAUGUGAUUGACAAACUUUUUUCCAAACUGUAAGGUUGAUGACCUUUCUUUUUUUCAAACCUCUGUGUUUGACUUUGUUUCCAGUUUUUGAACUGAUGAUUCAUUUGUGAAACCCCUUGUUUGCAAGAAUAUUUUGGAACUUUCAUGCGCUCUUUGAUUAGCAUACAUGGCCACAUGUUUCAAAAAUGAUAAAAAAAAAUACAAUUUAGCAUGCAUAUCAUGAUCGUCAUUUGCCAUUAAUAUCCCCACAGUACAUCAAAAUCACCAGCAAAUAAACCCGUAAAAAAUCAAGUUGAUAUCCCUAUAUCUCAUACAAUUGUCCUUCAAGGAAAAAAAUUCGGAUACUUCGAUAUUUAAUCCACGCAUACCUUAAAAAGCUGAAAAGCUCUCGCAAUUCGACCAUUCAGGUCUAAGCUGAUUAAAUAGGGGCAGAUGUCGUAUCCUAAAUUUGUCCUCCCUAUUUCAUCUUUCCACUCAAUUUAUCAACUUGAGAUUCAUCUGUACCACAUUCAUAUUUCAUUCAUAUGCAUCAUUCAUUAAUCAUACAUUCAAAGCUUGUGGCCUGCAAAUCUAAGGUUUGUUGAUGGGACAUGGCUCUUCAUAGGCUCAUCAUGUGAGGGGAAACCCUAAUUUCAUACUCUUUUAGACUUUGAUUCAAAAAGGUUACAAUCACGACAUUCAUUUAGUCAUUCAAACCCUUAUUCCUGACUUUGUUGUCUUUCGGUCUCACAAGCUUUCACCUGUGUAUCAUGAAGCCCUAAUCAGGGAAGAUUUGGUCCGGUUGCACCUUAUGGCUUGACUUUUCAUCUUGUGUGUGCUGGAAACCCUAAUUCAUUAGGGAGAGGUGUUUGACUAUCCUAUUAUGCAUGCCUACUGGUUUGGAAUUGCACAUGAUUCAGGUCUUGUUUCAAGCAUCCCUAUGCCCAUCACAUUUAACUUUGCAUAGGCCAUUAACUCAAGUCUUUUGGUAUGGGCAAAUGCAUAGACCCAUAUGCCCGAUUCACUUCAUUCAUAUGAUGCAGAUGAUCAAGGAUGAUUGGUCCAUUUAAGAUUUGGUUCCAUUGGUUCAUUCUUUGUUUCUUAAGCAAAAUCAUUAUUUCAUUUGAAUUAUGUCAUGUGAAAACCCUAAUUCAAAUUUCACAGUUGACUUCGAUUAACUAGUUUACCAAAGUCAACCAUCCCUUUUUGAGUCCAUUAAACUUUUUCAUUAAUCAUUCACACUUAAUCACAUUUUUCGAGCUAUUUGAUGCAUCCAAUUCAUUCAAUUUUCAAAUGUAAUUUUGACCAUUCCAAACAUUUUAACCAUUCAAGGUUAACAAUUUAAGUUCUAUAAACCAUCUUCUUUUACAAUAUAUUUCCACUCAUAAACUUUCCAUAAGCAUUCAAAAUUUUCCAUCAUAAAUAUCAUUCAAUACAAUAAACUUGUCCAUGGUUCGCGCAUUUAAUCCUUUCUUUCCAUCAUUUAUUUGCAUUGCAAUUCUAUUCAUCCAAAGUAUCAAACUUUUCAUAAUCACCAAGUUCCAUUCCAAUACAUUCAAGUUUUACCUACAACUUUCCUUUACAAUUAUUACAAACCAUUGUUUUACAUUGUUACACUAUGUAUCAACCAUAUCCUACAUAACCAUAUUAACCAUUCCAAAUGAUCAAGCAAGAUAGAAUUUCAUUCACUAACCAUACAAGAUAUCUCAAGCAUACAUUUCCAUUUCAAGCUACAUUAUAAUGCAUCAUAAUCCAACAAUAUCAUGAAGCAGCCCAUGGCCUCUUAUGCAUUCACUAGAAAUAUUUCCAUAGCACAAAUUGGCCAUGUCCCAAAAGAUAAUGCACAAAAAAAGCAUGAAAUAUCAUGAUUCUGUUAGGCUCUGUUUUGAAAUUAUUUACCUGAUGAACAACAGACAUAAAUGCCGAUCGAGGUUAUAUGGAAGCUUCAAAUACUGAAAAAGAAAACACACCCAUUGCAUUGAUGGCUACAGCUCUUCCUUUGAAACGCCAUUGAAGCUUCAAUUCGUGGAGCUUAAACCACUGCACCUCUUCGACCUCACGCGGAAAACGCAACAACAGCAUAUGCUUAGAAGAACAGAGGGAGAGGAAUAAGAUUGCAGCAACAUAACAGAAAGAGUGAAGGAACAAAAUUGAGACGAAGAAAAAGGGAAGAGAUCGGUCAAUACCUGUUCGCAGUUGAAGCAUCAAAUUUGGUAAGUCCUUUUGAUUUUCUUUUCUUUCUGUUUAAGUCCGCGAGCACAAUGUUGGAUGGAAUCACAUGUCGAUGAGGUUGAACACAAUCCAUGAACUCUAUUAUCUGUUAGAAUUAGAAUAUUAGGUUAUUAAGUGACAAUUAGAAAUUGUGAUUUAAUUAGAAUUCUAGUAUUGAUAGAUUUUGGAUUUUCAUUAGAAUUAAUUAGAAAUUUUAGAAUUUAACUAGGGUUUUAGAAUCUAUUUUAGACUAAUUAGAUUUUCACAUAAUUAUAUAUAAUUAUAAUUAAUUAGUUUUUGAUUAAAUGUUGAUUAUUAGAAACUAUUUUCCUAAUUAAUCCAUUUAUGCAUAUUGACUAUUUUACCCUUUAGAGGUUAUGUUUGUCAUUUUAGCCAUAAGGACAUGUUCCUUUAGGUUUAGAUCUUGACAUCAAUUUUUAAUCAAGUCUUGACCAAUUAUAUCAUGAUCCCUUAGGAUAGUUUGUAACAAAUUCUAACCAUUAGAUUAGGAUUUAAUCUAGUUUUCAAACUAAUUCAAACCUUCUGAUUCAAAUUGAUCAAAAGCAAUUUUGAUCAAUUAAAUCAUUUGAUAUUGUAUAAUCCCACAGUCUAAUUUGAGUGACACAAAUACUCUUGGUCACCUAAUGAGACUUUUUCGGUAAGUUGUGGAGCUCGAGGCCUCAAGUCAUAUUUUCAAUCAAGGCAUCAUCGGUCAGACCAAGCAGUGGAUAAUACAAGGUACAUCAAAGGUGGCAUCUUUGAGAGCUUGUCAAAUCAAAGUUAUGAUUGUGUGGCAUGAGCCUUGAGUAAUGAAGAAAGAAUGAGACUGAAGAAUUCCUACCCCCAUCAACACAAAGGGCAUCAUGUCAGCAACUUGUUAAUUUUGAUUCAAGUUGCAUGCCAUGAGCCUUAAGAAACAAAGAAUGAUGAGAGUGGGGAAUUCCUAUCCUUGUCUAGAAUAUUCUUGGGUACGGGACGAAUGACCCAGUUGCUCAAAGUAUUCGCCUUUUUCCAUAGACUUUGGUGCAAUUUAAAUCAUGCAAUUGACAAGCCUUCUUCUUCAAGCAAGCAUCAAUCAUUCAACACUUCAAUAGUGAAACACCAUUACCCCCUUUAGUAUUGGACUUUCCUCCUGGAUGUUCAUACAUUUCUUGGGAUUAUUACCUUGGGGUCACAUACCCAUCUCGCAAUCAAUUGCUUCAUGCAUUGCCUAUCAGUUCACACUAUGGCAUACUUCAUUGCUUGCCCUCAACGUACAGACCCUGACAUUCAGCCUAUGGAGUACAUACUCUGGCUUUGUUUCUUCCCCAUAAGGUACAGACCUUGGCAACUUCUUGCAGCCCAUAGAGUAUAGACUCUGGCUUUAUUCCUUGCCUACAACAUACCGAUCUUGGCAUCCUUGCCCUAAUGAGUUCAGACUCUGGCCAUCUGAUUUUGUCUAUACAGUACUGACUUUGACAUAUUAUUAUGCCUUAUAGUUAAGACUUUGGAAUUCAUUCAUCCAGCCCAUUGGGUUCAGACUUUGGCAUCGUACUAUUUUGCCCUUAUGGAGUUCAGACUCUGGCAUUCAAAUCAGUUCAUUUGCCUUAUAUAGUUCAGACUAUGGCAUGCUUAUACAUCUUGCCCAUGGAGUUCAGACUCUGGCAACCUUUAACAUUGUCUUGAAGUCAGACUUUAGAAUUAUAUCUCCUUUUCCCUUAUUGAGUUCAGACUCUGAGAAUCUGUUCCUUGCCUUUGUAUUAGUUCAGACUAUGGAAUUCAUCUAUCUUGCCUUGUGGAGUUCAGACUCUGGCUAUAUCUCAUUUGUCCUUAUGGUUGAUUACCAUCUUUGGUAAGUGUCAUACUCUCGCUUAUUAAGCAAUCACCUUGCCUCUGAGCAAUCCUAUCAAAUCUCCCUUUGCUUUCAGUUGUAGUAGGCUAAACUACGAUUGCUCUGAUUUUCUCAUUGCACGAUGAGAAUACAUAGGCACAAGGGUUCAAAUCCUCCGUGAGCAUACUUAUUUAUUACUCCUACCUUAGGGCAUUUCUCCAUCCAUCUCCAUGAUACAGUCAUAUACUACCUUUAUUCACUUCAUGUGAUAUACCCUAUUCUUUGAGCCAAAUACAUUAUACCUUUGUGCUCCAUCUUGUACCCCUUUGUGAACCAAGAGAUGUUUCUGUUGUGAAACCAAAAUUAAUUUCCUUUGUUUUCGGCUAUACCAUAUAGUGGCGAAUGUUCAGACAAUCCAUAUAUCGGUUUAUUCCAGUUUUACUCUUGGGUUCACGCUUUCACCCCUUGUUGGGGUUCAAAAUAUUAUCCUCUGGUUCAGGCCAUACCUUGAUCACAACUUCCUUUUCAUCUCCCACCACUAGUUCUUUGAACUACGAAGUUAUGAAUUCCUCAUUGCACUAUGAGUAUACAUAGGCAUGAGGGCCCUAAUCCUCACCGAGCACUCUAUCUAUUUCUUUUCAUUUUCCCCAUUCUUUUGCGAGUAAUCUUUAGAUACAACACUCAUUCGAGCGAGAACAAUCAAAACGGUUCCCAUGGAGUACCAUAGAUGUUAGGGAUGCUAAUACCUUCCCAUUGCAUAAUCAACUUCCUUACCCAACAUAUCUCUUUCCCCUGGGUUUUAUCGAUGUGUUCGGGUAUAUUUCCGCUAGCUGCAUCACCAACUCCAAAAUCUCAAAAAAGUGUUUUUAAAGGAACUCGCAUUAGCAAACCACCUCCUUCACCGUCUCUACCAAAAAUUUCAUUCAUUGACGAGAUGUUAUUUUUUUCAUAAAUACAUCGAACAAAUCGUCAAUGUUGAGGGUGACGGUAAUUGCGAUUUUCGAGCUAUUUCGAUUUUGCUGGGUAAAGGAGAAGAUGAUCACACACUUGUCUGCCAUCAACUUAUCCAUGGUUGAGGACCCAUAUAGAAUUAUACACACGACUUUACCGAAAGAAACAAAAUUUUGAUGCAAUUUAUGAGUCUUUUAUUCCUUGCAUUAGUGGUCCGAAACCAGAGGAAAAAUGAAUGUGCUUCCCUGAAAUGAGUCAUCUCAUAGCAAGUGCAUCUGAUAAAGUGUGUAUUGGUCUUACAAGAUACGAUUUUUUGGAAACUUUUUUUCCACUGCGCACCACCCAACCUCAAAAUCUAAAUGAUCGUAUUUUGUGUAUUAGAAUACCUUUAAAAUUACGACACUUUGUUCAAAUUUAUUUGAAACGGGAUGUCGUAUACCACUUACAUCAGUGGAGUGGACAACUCAUUCAACAAUAAAAUCCGGGACUUAGACGGGCCAAUUUAUGGAAAAGAUGCAAGAGUUUACCAAAUUGAGCGACAUUGAAAGUGAAUAUAAUGCACAAAAGUCAAAGGGGGAACCACUCAUACUUAUAAAUUUAGCCAUCGACAAAUAUUUCGAUUCGUUUUAGUUUUUCGUUAUCAAUUAAUUGUAUAUAAUUUUGUAUUAAUAGUAAGGGUUAAUAACAUUUUUAUAGAAACAUUCUAGUUGUACCUUGGGGGGAAUGACCCAUGAUUGAUGCUUACGUGUCAUGAUAAAUAUCAUGAUAUAUUUUAGUUUUUAGUUUUUUAAUUACAUAUAUGCUUACGUGGACUUACAGUUUUUUAUUUAUGAAUUAUUUCUAUUUUCAUGUGAAAAUUUAUUUUCUUUUUCAUUUAUUUUAAUCAUAACAAUUAUCAAAACUACUUUAAGAAAGUUCUAAAAUUUUGUCAACAAUGAAAUUCUCAUACGGAUUUGGCAAGGAACUUUGAAAGGAGAUUUGAAAGCGUGAACCACAACCAUAGAUAGGAAGAAGGAGAAUUAGGGUUCAACAUAGUUUGAACCGUGUUUAUGUUUAUGUUAGGGACCGAUUCGGGCUAGACCCAAUCUAGGUUCGGUUGAUCCACUAACCAUUAGUUUUUUUUUUAAAUUAUUUUGUGAGUAUACCAUUUGUUGUUUGGCCUUACCUAUUUGUGACUUGGGCAAACCCCACUUUAGGAGCCAUCUUGUCUUAUUUAUUUAUUUAUUUUUGUCUUUUCCUCAACCUUUUUUAUUGCAUUAAUAUUUUAGUAAAAGAAUAUAUAAAAAACAUAAACUUUUUCAUGAAAAAAAAGGUGGUUUACAAUUUUAUAAUAAUUGAUUUUUAUUGUUAUUUCAAUUUUUUUAUCAAUAAAUAAAUAAAAGUAGACAAAAUUUGUUUGAUGCGUGCCUUAGGGUUUCUUUUUCCUAUCAAGCUAUAUCUCAAAAGAAGAAUAUUUCUUUAAGAAUUAUUCCUUUUUUUAAAAAUAAAUUUGAUUCCAUUAUGGUUUGAUUUGUUUGAUCUUUAUUGAUUGUGUGAAUGCUUGUAUUGUUCAUACUUGAUCCAUGAUUUAUGUAACCUUUCACUUAGACCUUCGAUUGUUAGUAAGAUAAAAGUAAAUGUGCAAUAAAAUCAACCUUUUAAAAUAAGAUUCAAACACUCUAUCGAUAUGAAUUUGGUUUUAAAAAGAUCUCACUAUUUUCACCAUCCAUUCAAAGUUAAUUUCAAGUCAUCUCACAAAUUAUUUUCAUGCUAACACGAAUAAACCCUCGAUCAACAUCGAGUUUCUUUUUUGCUUAUUAAAAACUUGAAAAUCAUUUUCAUAAUAAAUCAGUUGAAAAAGGAAUGGGAGGCGCACACAUCUCUACUCCUCGAAUAAGUGAGUGAUUGGUAGACUCCAUAUUGCUCUAACUUUCAUCUUCCGAAUAAAAUAUCCUAAAUAAACAUGGAUGAAAAAGGAAGAGAGGCGCACACAUCUCUACUCCUCGAAUAAGCAAGUGGAAGACACACACCUCGCUACUGCGAAUAUUUUUUCUUCCGCAAAUAAUUUUCAAAAUAUUAAAAUCAAACAAAAAAGGAAUGGGAGGCGCACAACUUGUUGCUCCUCGAAUAAGUGAGUGAUUGGUGCGCGCCAUAUUGCUCGAGCUUUCAUCGUCUUCCUACAAAACACUAAACCAAUCAAACCUAUUUUCUCGCCCCCUUCGUUCAUCCCAAGACGAUGUAAACACGCUUCAUUUCUACCAUGCGCAAGAAGUUAUAACUCUUUUCGCUCGAAUGUGACGAGAACAAAUUUGUGAGAAUCUGGAUUAUGUUAUUCAUUCUAAUGUGAUGCCAAUGUUCACUUCUCCAUGUUUUUAGUAGCAAAUAAUGUUUUCGCUCGAAUGCGACUAAGUACCUUUCGUAAAAACUGAUCAACAAACAAAAAAUUUCUACCCAGAACUACGUAGCCUUGAGUUUUUCAUCGCACCUGAGAUAUGUAGAAGCGAGACCCGUAAUCUCGUCAGGCACAUUAAUAAAAGAAAACAUUUUGCGACCCAUUUUGUUUUCUCUUUACACUUUUGACCACUCGAAGAAAACAUAUGACAUAAGCUAAAAUUUCAACCACAAAUCUAACUAAAUGGUUCCCGUUGAGUGUAACAGAUGUGAGGGGUGUUAAUCCCUUCCCCUCGCAUAAUCGACUCCCAAACCUGAAUUUGAUUGUGACAAACAUUUUCUUUUUCUUUUAAGGAUUUUAUCAAUAUUUCCCCUCCUUUUUGGAAUAAAUCAAUUUUGAUGGUGACUCUGUUAUCUUGACCAUGCAAGCGCUCAUGGUCAUUUUUCGCGUCGCGACACUACUGUACAAUAGUUAUCUGUAUCAAAAACUAAAAUAUUUGUGUCUGUAUCUUGUUGUCUAGGAUUGUUGGAAACGAGAAGGAUGGAAAAAUAAAGUGUGUUUAUUUUUCUAUGUUGUAAAAUCACAAGGUGGUUUUUCUUGGUGAUUAAGUUAGAAUCUUGUGUAUAGAAUCUAGGUUUAGGCUUGUACAAAAUAAUAACAAUAUUGAAAUCUCUUAUAGUGUCUAAGGGGACUGACAUACUCUCAGAUUGUGAUGGGAACUAGUAUGAUUUUCGAUGUUAUUUACUUUAUGCACUUUACUGCUUUCACCACCUAACCAUAAACCAAAAAAUAAAGAAACAUUCAUCUCUAAAAACAAUGUACUUACAGCGAGAGCAUGAUAUUCCGCUUCAGUACAUGAACAAGACACAAAAUUUUGUUUCUUUAAGCGCUAUGAAAUCAAGGAGUUACCCCAUAACACAUAAAUGCUAGUGUAUAUUUCCUAGUAUCCAGACAACGUGCCCAGUCGAAGUCAGCAAAACCAUGCAGCUUUAAGGAAUUAUUGCUGGCAAAAAAAUGCCUCGAGUAGGAAAUGCCUUCAGAUACUUCAAAACUCGAGUGGCUUCCUAACGGUGAGGAACCAAGGGGUUAGCCACAUAUUGGCUAAGGUGACGGACAAUAAAAGAAAUACUUGGCCGUGUGUUUGUAAGGUAAAGUAGCCUGCUAAUUAAUUUACAAUAUGAAGAAGGGUCCUCUAAAGGAGUACCUUCACUAGAUGAGAGCUUCAUGUGAGGAUCAAUAGGUGUGGAGACAAGCUAAGCCCCAAGAAAACCAGUGUCCUCAAGCAGCUAGAGCAUGUAUGUUCUCUGGCUGAGAAAGAUACCAGAAGUAGAACGUGCAAUUUUGAGGCCCAAGAAGUACCUUAGUUGACUGAGAUCUUUAAUGCAAAAUUGUUGAUGCAGGAAAGACUUUACUUGUUUAUUCCACAAUCGAGUCGCUUGUCAAGACAAUAUCAUCAAUGCACACUGAUAAGGAAGUGAAACCAUGAGGUGUGAUCUUGGUGUAUAAUGAGUGACCAACAACAGAUUGAGAGUAGCCUAAUGAAAUGAGAGCUGAAGAAAGCUUAGAAUGCCAUUGUCGACUGACCUGUUUCAGUCCAUACAAUGAUUUUUUUAAGUGUACAAACCUUGUUGGAUUCAAGAUUACCAUAGCCAAGAGGAAGAGACAUAUAUACUUCUUUAUUUAGGUCUCCAUGAAGGAAGGAGUUUUUAACGUCCAGUUGCUCAAGGUGCCAGUGUUUGACAGCUGCAAGAGAUAAAAGAACACGAACAAUAGUAAUUUUGGCAAUUGGGAAAAAAGUAUCAAAGUAAACUACAUGUUCUAAUUGAGUGUAACCCUUGGCUACCAACCGGUCCUUGCAUAUAUCAAUAGAGCCAUUGGCAUGGUACUUGACUUUGUAUAUCCAUUUACAACCAACUGGAGUUUUGCCUAGAGGAAGGUCCACAAUGGUCCAAGUUUGAUUGUCCUUAAGAGAUGCAAUUUCAGUAUCCAUGGCCUACUUCCAACAGUCAUGUUUAGAGGUAUGAAGAUAGGUUUUUGGUUUAAAUAUGGAUGAAAUAGAGCAACAAAAGGAUUUGUAAGUUGGAGAGCAUUUUUUAUAUGAUAUAAAGUUGGAGAUAUGGAAGGUAGUGGAAGAGGAGUUAUUUAUAGAGGCAUAUCUAUUUGAUGAAAGAAAGAGAUUACAAUAAUAGUCUUUGAGAAAACUAUGAGGGUGUUUGGUUCUCAUUGAUUUUUGAGUUAGUAGUGUGGAUUGGUUUUGGGGAAUGUCUGAGGGAGGGUUAGAAUUAUGUGGAUACAUGUUAUCAACUAAGGUAUCAUGAAGGAUGUUGGGUUCAAAGUCAAUAACACUAGGAUCUUGGGUACUUGGUGAUGGAUUAAAAGUAGUUUGAUAUGGACUUGAGGUACUAGAGUCAAUCAAAGUAGGUUGAUUGAGACUUGGAAGGUUAGGGAUAAGUCCUGUUUCAGAAGUAAUAGGAUAAUCAUAAGAAUUUGUGACUGGUGUGACAACAGUAGAAGGAGUGGACAUAUGAGGCUCAGGGGUCAGAGUGAGGGCCUGAGGUGUAACAUAGUCAAUGUCAUAGGUGAUGUCCAUCAAGCUAUGAAUAUAAGUAGGGAGAUUUGUGGCAUUACUUUUGAAUGGAAAGGUGGUUUCAUAAAAGAAAACAUUUAGAGAUAUGAAUAAGUUAUGAGACUGAAGGUCAUAGAGAAUAUAACCUUUAGUACCAUCUUUGAAACCAAGGAGAAUGGCUUUUCUAGCCCUACCAUUGAAUUUUGUUAUGUGGGUCUGUAAAGUUGUUGAAAAACAUAAACAAACAAAGACUUUCAAAUGAACAAUAAUAUAUUAAGUUUUGAAAAAGCAACUCGUAUGGAGAUUUUGACUGAAGUUGAGGACUAGGGAUCCUAUUAGUCUUGUGGACAACAUGUUGAAUACUGAAGUUCCAUAGGUUUAAAGGAAUAUGUGUUAAUGUUUUCUCUCAACCACCCCAUUUUGCUGUUUUUGUUAUAGUGGUGGUGGUGGUGUGUGUGUGGCGGGGGGGGGGGUGUUCUACACAAGAUUUAUGGCGACUUAUGCCUUUGGAAGGGAAAAAGGAACUAAGAGUUAGGAACUUUGAACCCUUAUAUGACCUAAAGCAUUUAAGAGUGGUUUUGAAUUUAUUUCCUAUUGAGGCAAUAAAAUGUAUUACACUUUGUUUUGUUUCAGAUUUUUCCUUAAUAAAAUGACCCAUGUAAACCUUGAAAAUCCAUCAAUAAGAGUUAAGAAAUAUUUAUAGCCUAAAAUAGAAUCAGUAGAAAAGGGCCCCCAUAAAUCAACAUGUAAAAGUUCAAAUGGAGCAUGAGUAUGAGUAAGACUAUUUAGAAAGGGGAAUUUCUUUUGUUUUGCAAAAUGAAACGAAUCACAAGGGUUCAUGUUAUUUUUACAAGGGAUGGGGGGAAAAUGUUUAGCCAUAGUUUUCAUACUGAAAUUAGAAAGGUGGCCUAGUCUUAGAUGCCAAAGUUCAAAGGAAUUAGAAAUAACAUAAUUACUAGUGGAAUAAACAUCACUAAUAUCUAUCACAUAGAGGCCUCUGUGCCAUUUAGUUGUACCAAGCAUUUGCUUUGGAUGGUUCUGCAAAAUAUGACACAAGUUUGAAGAAAAUUUCAGAUAGCAAUCAAUAUUGCUAGUCAAUUUUGUGACUAAGAUUAAAUUAACAUGAAAGUUAGGAAUAUAGUGAAAAUUGUAAAGAGUUAAGGAAAGGGAAAUGACAAUGUUUCUAGAUAUGCAGGCAGUCAUGUGAGAUUCAUUUGGUAAGGAGAUUAAGCUAUUGAUUAACUUAACUCACAAAGAAAGAGUCGCCACAACGCUUUUAUUAUUUCCAAAGAAAAUAGAAAAAGAACGAACCAAACCCAAAGAAGUUUAAAAAAAACUAAUAAAAACAAAGAUAAGGGUCCAGGGGUUGGUUAUGUACAGGGAAGAUACUAGCACCCUAAGCAUCUAUAGUACUCUACAGGAACAUCUUUGAAAAUAUGUGCAUUUAGAUUUAAAAUGGUGUUGUUUACAAAAGAUUAGGGAGAUGAAAAGAGAUUUUUUUUUUAUAAUUUUUGUGUUUGCCAAGACUUUCUGAACCUCGUGCCUACGUACCCAUAAAGUGCAAUGGCGAAUCAAAACCUCGUAGUUCGUGGUAAAAAUAACAAAGAUGUUUGCUUUGAUUCAUUUUUAAUGAAUUUUUUUUUGUCAUUUUAAGAAGAACAUUCAACUAGCCAUCCACAAGUAUGGGAACUUUGCAUCACCAUGAGAAGGACUCUAACUUGGAUAAAUAUCAACUAGCUCUCUUAUAUAGAAAAGAAUUAUUAUCAAUACUAUGGGGAUAGAAAAAUUAUAUAUCAACUAUGGAAAUGACUCGUGUCUAAACUUUGAGAAAAAAGUUUUAAAAAGGAAAAAAAAAAGUGCACAAAGGGCACAAAAAGGUUUGAAUGAGUUAUGCAUUUUUAGUUUUUUGAAAUUGGUUUGAAUAUGAUUAAGAUGUAUUAGAAUUUAUUAAUAAAAGAUUUUGAAAAGAAAUCACUUGAAAAAAGUCAAGGUUUAUUGAGGAAGUAGUUCAAGUUUGAAAACAAGAAUGUUUUGAAAAAAAGAGAGAAGAUUUUGAAAAUCAAAGAAGGGGAGGAGAGGAAGAGAUUAUCCUAGAACAUAAAGUAAAAGCUAUGGAGGAAAGAUCCAACCAAGAGAUAACAACAAGAAUUCACUCCUUUGGAUUAAGCCUUAAGCAAGUCAAAUAAGCAAAGAAUAUUCCAUGUAUCAGAUGAAACCAAAGUAGCCAAGCAAAAUCUUCAAAAGAAUCUCAAAGUCAAAGGUAGCAGAUGAAUCUCAAGGUCUCAAAUCAGAAACUCCCAAAAGAUAAACAAGUAUGCCACUAGUUCUCUUAGAUGGAAAAUAAUUAUCAUCAAUACUAUGGGUAUAGAAUAAUUACAUCUCAACUAUGGAAAUGACUCAUGUCUAAACUUUGAGAAAAAGUUUUAAAAGAAAAAGUGCACAAAGGGCACAAAAUAGUUUGAAUGAGUAAUGUAUUUUUUAAGUCUUUUGAAAUUGGUUUAAAUGUGCUUAAUAUUUAUUAGCAUUUAUUAAGAAAAUAUUUUGAAAAUCACUUGACAAAAGUCAAGGUUUAUUGAGAAAGUGAUUCAAGUUUGAAAACAAGAAGGUUCUUGAAAAAAAAAGAGAAGAUUUUGAAAAUUAAAGAAGGGGAGGAGCUAAGAAGAUUAUCCUAAAACAUAAAGUAAAAGUUAGGGUGAAAAAUCUAACUAAGAGAUAGCAAGCUUUAUGACAUGUGUUAAGUAAGAACACUCUCCUUUGGAUUAAGCUUCAAGCAAGUCAAACAAGCAAAGAAAAAUCCAUGUGUCAGAUGAAACCAAAGUAACCAAGGAAAUUAUUUAAAGUAAUCCCAAAGUCAAAGGUACCAGAUGAAUCCCAAGGUCUCAAACUAUAAACUCCCAAACAAGGGUCAAAAUUCUAGUUCUAACUCCGUAACUCCAUAAUAAUCCCAAUGAUAGUAACCUCAAGUCCAUGAAUUAAGAGAACCAAUUUUUAGGGGUUUUUUCCUUUAUUAAUGUAUUUAAAAGAAAAAGAAGUCUAAAUGGACAAAGAAAAAAAGGCAUAAACAUAAACAAAGGUCCAAGUGGACAAAUAGAAAAUAGCAUAAAUACAAACAAUAUGAUAUGCGAUGCUAAAAUAAAAUCAUAAAGUUAAUAACAAGAAAUAAAUGGCAAAAAAAUAAAGAGCAUAAGAUAAAUGGCAUUAAAGUAAAUUUAAUAUAAUAAUAUGUUAGUAAGUUGUGUUAGUAAUAAAAAAUUGAAAGAUAAUUUAUCAUUUUUGGGAGAAUACUCAACUAUUCGCCCACAAGUAUGAAAAUGUGGACCUCUACAUCACCAUGAGAAAGACUCCAACUUGGAUAAAAUCAAUAAGUAUGCCACUAGUUUUAUUAGGUGAAAAGGAAACAAUAUUUUUCACACAAUACCAUGGGGAGUAGGAGACUUACAAUCUCACUUAUGAAAAUGACUUACUUUCGGAUUCAGGAUAAAUUUAACGUUAUGUUAAGCAAUCGUAAUUGGACUCAUGUUGAAGUCACAACUAUCUGAGCCCGGUCAAUAAUAAUAUUUAUGUUAAUACAUGCUAGAGAAAUUAUAUGUAAAUCAUUCUCCUAAAGAUAUGCCACACAAAAAAAGGAUGGAUCAAGCACAAAUGUUAAGAGAGUUGUUCAUUACAUCAAUCAAUACUUCAUGAUACUUAGGACAAGCUUAUGCAUCAAUCUAAAGUACCUUAAAUAUUCUAUGAUCAAUUAGGAGGUAGAUUUGAAGUGAUGAAAGUUCAUCAAGUACCAAUUCAUACAUCAUAAACAAGAUGAACACAAACCAUCCAAUUGAUCAAGAGAAAAAAGGAAGCGAAAGAGAUUAAGAAGAAGAAGAAGACGAGAGAAACCAAACUCAAAUUGGAUCAAAGGAUUGAUCAAGUCAUCAUCAAAAUCAAUCAUCCAUCUUGGUAGAUUUGGGUUUUCACCCCAUCAACACCGAAGAUCCAUUGAAUUUGAUGAGAUUUAUGAUCAAAAUAGCCAAGAUCCAAGGUCAACAGAAGUCAACAAAGGUCAAACAAGCAUAAAAUGAAAGAAAAUAAAAUAAAAUGCAUCAAAAAUAUUUUUUAAAUGAAUUUUAAAAGGCAAAUAAAACAAAAAAUUCCAUAAAACCCUUUAAAAUACCAAAUAAAUGGCCAAGAAAAUUAUGGAAGGUUGAAGAUAAAAUAAGGAACAUAAAAUAAAUUUUUCAAAUAUUUUUAAUGCAUAAAAGUAUUUUUAAACUAAUUAAAAAAAGGGGAAAAAGAGGAAAUCCAAGAAAAUAAAAUAUGGAAAAAUAAAAAUCAGAUGAAGAAAAAAAAAAGAAAAUUUUAGAAAAUAUUUUGGGAUUUUUUGGAUAAAAAAUGAAUUUUCUAUAAAUUUUUAAAGAAAAUGCAAUUUAAAAUAAAAAAUAAAAAGAAAUAAAAAACAGAAAAAAAUAGAGGCAUUGGAUCUGACCUCAUUAAUUGACGUGGCAAAUCCAACAACUAUCAGGCUAGGGCGCAUGGUGGAAAAUAGUUAGAAUAAAACAUGGAAUCACAUUCAAAAUGGACCAAUCAAAACAUUUCAAAAUGCCAACGUGGAUAGCCAACUCAGAUGGCCUGAAACAAAUCCAUUCAUCUUCUUCGGUAAUCCCUCAUCGGAGUUUCAUCAUUUGACAAAGUAAGAACAUGAGACUACCACCAAUGUGAUCGUCUCCUCAUCACGAAUUCAACCUAAUGCUCAAAAUUAAUUUAUCUAAAUUGAGUAUGGAGAAUUUCAGAGAAGUUUUAGAAACAAGCAAGUCACAAAAAGUAAAAUUAAAUGAUGAACAUUAUCACUCAACACCAGAUAAGUUAGGGGAAAGCAUAAGAGGGUGAAGGACUACAUUGUGGUAACUCGUUUGAGUUCAAAUGAUGCUCAAAACUACCUUGUCCAAAUGUAGAUCGGAGGUUGAAGAAGCUUGAUCUGGUCAGGGCACUUCAGAAGGUCUUACAGAUUGAGAAUUAUUGCAAAAUCUUCAUAGGAGACUGAAAGUUUUAAUUGAAUCAAGAAAUUGAACUGAAACAAGCUAGAAAUCAAACACGAUAGCUCAAUUUUCUAGAAAUGUUUAAUAGUGGAGCAGGGGUUUUUUAGCUCUCCAAAGCUUGGGAAUAAGGCAAAUAUAUUGCUCUAUUUAUAGGGAAGUGAUUGGUGAUCUCAUACGUGCCAAAUGAUGCUUAAUUCGUGCAAAACAAAUUUGCUCAUGAUGUGAGAAAAGUGUGACUUGUAAAACCAUCAAAACUCAGCCAAAUUAUGCAUUAAAUGAUUCAUUUAACUUUUGAAGACUUGAUUAAUCAUGUUUAGGUCCAAAACGUGUGGUAAAUUGGCUUGUAAUUAAGGAUUAGUGAAGUUCAAAAUUCUGAACAUGGUGAUUUCUUCAGUUCCAAGUUACCAUGUUUAAUUCAAUGGGGCAUCUUGCCUAGGAGGCUUUUUGAUCUCAUUUUUCUUGCAAUUUUUGGACAUCAUAUCAAAGAUUACAAUGUGCCAAGAAAGGUUGCAUUUGGAUGCUUGAGCAGAAGUUUAUGGCAUGUUAAAGUUGGCACAAAAAUUUGGUUAUGCAACUUGGAAAAUUCUAAGUCCCAGAUGGCUAAAAAUGACCCAUAAUGUCUCAAAGAAUUCCAUGGUCUUCCAAGCAUAAUUUGACUUUGAUCCUUGAAGAAAACUUGUAGAGGGCAUCACAAAUGAUAUUAUUCAAAAAGAAUCAGCGUCAAAUGUUGGAAAUUGAAGAAGUUAUAAUCCUUGAAAGUUGAGAAAAAGUCACUUGAAAAUAGGUCAAAUUUCACUAGGUCCACAAAUGACCUAUAAUGUCUUCAAACUUUUGAUGAUCCUCCAUGCAUAAUUGGAUCUUGUAAUGUAAAGAGAAGUUAUAGAGGAUAUUUAGAAGAGUCAUAUGCAAAAAGAAACAUUCAAAAAUAUUGAGGAUUGAAGGAAUUGUGAACCUUGGAACUUUGACUUCAAAUGUUGAAUUUUUGGUCAAACCUCUUGGAAUAAACUUGUGUACUUGGACUUUUAUUGCAUUUCAAGGUACAUGGAUGAUCAUAUGAACUAAAAAUAAGGUGUCCUUAAAUUUAUUUUUAUUAAAUUUCUUAAAGUUUGAGGUAACAUAUUGAAGAAGGCAUGGAAAUAAACACAUGAACCUUUGCCUUUUCUUGAGACCGAUUAUCCACUUUUGUGUAACCGAUUACAAGCGCAAUAUUUUGAUUUUUCCUGCUAUUUUACUUGGUCAAUUCAGUUCCCAAUUGUGUUGUAUCUCUUGUAUAAGUGUUUAGAAUGCACACUCAUCUAAGGUUAAUGCAAUAAUAAUCUCUCACCCUUAAUUCUCCUCUUUCACACUCUACAUCCAAAGUAUCUCCACCAUUGUUCAUCAAACUUGUUGUGUCUUGUUCCAACAUUUGACAUCAAGAGUCUGGUUCAGAUCCACAAACACCUAGUGUGCAACAUGAAUUAUGUUUCCAAUGAAAGAAUCCCUGCAAACCUACAUAUCCUUGAUGCGAAGAAUUAUGAUAAAUGGUGCAAGAAAAUGAAGAUGUUGUUUGGCUACCAAAAUGUUCUUAAAGUAAUCAAGAAUGGUGUUAGCCCUCUUGUUCAAAAUGCAACAGAGGUGCAAAAAGAAACACAUAAGAAAGAGAAGAAGAAAUACUUCAAAGUGUUAUUCUUGAUCCAUCAAUGUGUUGAUGGCGACAAUUUUAAGAAAGUUGGUGAUUGCGAAUCGUCAAAGCAAGUGUGAGAGAUCUUAGAAAAGACAUGUGGAUGGGUUGACAAGGAAAAGGUGGCGAGGUUACAAACUUACAAACACCAGUUUGAAUUGAUUCAAAUGGAGGAAAAGGAGACAAUAAACUAUUUUGCAAUGAGAAUCACCCGGUUGGUGAAUCAAGUGAAGGCAUGCAAAGAAACUGUUACAAAGCAGUAUGUUGUCGCUAAAUCUUGCAUUCUUUAACACUAAGAUUUGACAAUAUAGUUGUGGCGAUUGAGGAGUCAAAGGAUCUCACGAUGAUGAGUAAAGAGAAGCUGCAAAGUUCUCUCGAGGCUCAUGAUAAAAGGAUGGAAGAGAGGAAUAACGUUAAGGCAAAGGCGGAGAUCGCUUUGCAAGCUCGUUUCAAUGAGAAGGACAAGAGAUCGAAAGGAAAAUGGCCCAAGAAAAGAAAAGGGAAUUUUCAUAAUUUUGGUGGAAGAGAGUCCUAAAAUUCAAAUAAUUUUACUUGUCAAAGGGGUGAGAGCAUCUUCAACAAACAUGGUGGUCAAGGCAACUUUAGAGGUAGAAGGAAGAGGUUUGACAAGAGCAAGGAGUAGUGCUAUAAGUAUCAAUGGUUUGGCCAGUUUGCAAAAGAAUGCAAUUUGAACAAGAAGGAAUCUCAAGGGGAUGAAGCCAAGGUUGCAAGAUAAGAGUUUGAUAAAGAGAAUACAUUUUUGGUCAUGAUCAAAGAAGGGAAUUGUAGCAGCAAACAACUGCGGGACAACAACUACAACAACUCAACGAAUGCUGAAUAGGUUGGUUGAAUGAUACGAUUAACCAAUUGCAUGAAGAGGAAGACGCCAUGAUGAGUUUGAAAGGAGUUCAAUGCAGUGAGGAGUGGUAUUUGGACUUGGUUUGUUCAACUCAUAUAACGGGAAUAAAGGAUUGGUGUGCCAAAAUCAAUUGUGCCAUGAAGAACAAAGUAAAGUUCGCGGAUGACACCACUCUAAUAUUCAAUGGGAUCAGUGAUGUUUUAAUCAUGAGAAGGGAUAAUGGACAUUCCUUGACCAUAAAUUCUUGUACAUUUAGGGAAUCAAAUGUAACCUUCUGAGUAUUGGCCAAUUUCUUGAGAAGGGUUAUAAGAUUCACAUGGAAGACAAGGGGUUGCGGGUUAUGGAUGUAAGAUGAGUCUUGGUCCUUAAAGCGCAUAUGGAUGCCAAUAAAACCUUUAAGGUUGAGUUGAAGGUUAUAGAGCAUAAAUAUCUUGCUACUGUAACAAGUAGACAAUAUUGGAUUUGGCACUAUCGUCUUAGGUAUCUCAACUUUAGAGAUUUCAAAGACUUUCAAAAGAACAGAAUGGUAACGGGGCUGCCAUCGAUCAACAUACUAGCUGAAAUUUAUGAAGAAUGUAUGCAAGCGAAGCAACAUAUGGGAAAAUUAAGAAAGUAGAUUCUAUUGGUGGCAAUAUGUAUUUUUUCACAUUUAUCGAUGAUCAUAGUACGAAGCUAUGGACAUACCUAAUCAAGAGAAAUGACGAUGUAUUUGAUGAUUGUUUGUCAUUGCAUAUAUUUAAUCGAAGAAUCAAAGAAAAAUAAGUGAAAUUUGAGAUAAAAUGAAGAAGAAUGAGGAAAAAAUAGCUAAGUGUGAAAAUUGUGGACUUAUUGAAAAUUUGAGUGAAAAGGGGAGCAAAACCGUGCAACCACGGGAAUAAUCACGCGCACCAUCACAUAGCAUCGUGCACGCGAUGGGGUCUUUAAAGCAGCAUUACACGCGCGAUACAAGGAAUCACGCGCGUGAUAAGUACUUUUUAUGGGCUUUUUAGACACGUUCUAGUCCAUUCUAACGCCUUUAAAAGAGGAUUUUCUGCACUUUCACAAGGGUUACAAAAUUGGGAGAUCUAGGCACGAUUUUGAGAGCACAAGUGGUGAUUUUUAUAGCAUUGGAAGCUAUUGGAGGCCAUUACUUCAACGUAUUUCACAUGUUAUUUUCAUCUAUCAAUUAUGGCAUUUUUAAUUGCAUUAUGAGUAGCUAAGCUCUUUUAUAUUAGGUUGUGUUAUGAUGAACCUAUUUCUAUAUUGUUGGAAUCUAUGUUGAUUUAACCAUUCUAAGAACCGUUUGAACUAUAAUUCCAUUCAAUUGCUUUUUGUUCAUAAUUCCUUUUAUGUGAGAUACUCUUUUAAUCUGAUUUUGGGCACAUAGGGAAUAUUGACUAUUAGUCUAUGUGUUGGACCUAGGGAAAUUGUUGUACUUACGCUGGUUGAAUAGGAAUAGGAGACCCUGAGUAGUGGCAUAGAGAAUUAAUGUUUUAUACAUCACCUAACCUUGCUUACGCUGGCAGACUAGGGAUAGAAAGCUCUGAGUAGUGGUUAGUGAGUUAUUUCGCGAGGGAUCAGCUAUAACGGUUUUGUUAAUUCGAUGUGGUGUUAUAGUGAUAAGACCAUUCGUAAAAGAUAUAAAACAUCAACAAUAGAGGAAUAGGGGAUUCUAGAACACAAUAUGCUCGUUUUCGUGAUAUUGUUUAAUUGUUUAUUUACUUUUCGCACUGAAACUCGAAAACCCCCCUUUUUACUAGUUUUCUAUAAAUUGCACACAUUUUGUCUUGCCUGAAGGAAAUUCAUGUGGAUUCGAUCUUUUUAUUACUUCGACAAUAUCAAUACACUUAUCGAGAAAUCAUUAAGUUUUUGGCGUCGUUGCCAGGGACUGUUGAUUUUUCAACAAGGCGAUGUUUGUGCAAUUUUUAUUUUUAUUUUUUUAGUCUUUUAGUUUUUUUUUUCUUUUUCUUGUUUAUCAUAGUGCUAUUGAGGUAUUUUUUGUUUGUGUAUGCACAAUUUAGGAUCAACAUUAAUACCAUUGGUUCUAGAAAUUGAAAGAACUACACGUGCUCUCAGAAAAGCAGUUAGAGAAGCAGCUCUGAAAGGAGGAAUACUAGAAGAAGAGCAACUAUCAAAUUCUUCUGACUCUGAAGAAGAAGCUGUAAUGGAAGCUGCACAACCCCUAACUAUGGGGCAUUAUUAUAAAUUAACCGAUGAAGGACACUUAUCAAGAGGGUUUGUGCUGGUAGACCCUGCUAACUUUGAUAUUAAAAAUUAUGUGCUUUAAGGUUUGAGAGAAAAUUCGUUUGAUGGGAACACGAUUAGAGACCCAUGGGUGCAUCUUACACACUUUUAUGAAAUAACUUAAAUGUGCAAACCAACUGAUGCCACUGAAGAGCAGGUUAAAUUGAGGUUGUUUGGGUUCUCACUAAUUGGAAGGGAGAAAGAUUGGUUACUUUGCCUUCCGAAUAAAACGAUACAUACUUGGAAGGAAUUAAAGGAUAAAUUCCUCGAAAUAUUUUUCAUUACUACUCAGUUUACCGAGCGCUAAGCAGAAAUUGUGAAUUUUGUGCAGCAGGAAACUGAGUCACUUUAUGACUCUUGAGAAAGAUUCAAAUUUUUGUUACGCAGAUGCCUGAAUCACAACAUGAAUAAUAUGGUGCAGAUGUAAAACUUCAUUAAAGGUCUCAAGAGUCAAACUCACAUGUUAUUGGAUGCUUCUACGAGAGGUACUAUCUGAAAAAUGAAUGAACCACGGGUAAAAGAUCUCAUUAAGAAGAUGUGUAUGAAGGAGUACCGAUCCAAGAAUGAAAGGUCGGUCAAGAUGGGAAUUGUGGGCACGCCUAAAGGUAUGUUACCUAUUGAUACCCACACUGCUCUUUUAGCUCAGAUUGAAUUAUUAAAUAAAAAUCUAGUUGGAAGCAGCUUAGUUAAAGCUAAUGUAGGCUAGGUACAAGCACUUGGGUGCGAUUUAUGUAGAAGAGAACAUGCGAAUGAAAGGUGUUCAUUGGAAGAGACAAGUGAGGAGGUCCAAUUUGCUAAUUUUUUAAAAAAUAACUUGUAUUCAAACACAUACAAUCUGGGUUGAAAAGACCAUCCAAAAUUCCGUUGGAAUAAUAAUCAAAAUUCAAAUGCUAACUAAGGGAUGCAACAAAGUCAACAAGCUCUGUUUCAAAGGAAUCCCAUCACAGUUGGUAGAGACCUCACAAAAUUUCAUUAAGGUCACUCAAAGUAGAUUUGAUAGGGUAAAGAAGACCCAUGAAUAAAUGAGUAGAAACUAGGAUGCGUCUAUCAAAAUUUUGGAGAUGAAGAUUGGUUAAUUAUCUAGAAAAGUAGCUACUUUGUCAAGCUCAAGUGGAGGAUUCACCAGUAACACCGUUGAUAACCAUAAGAAUGAUAACCCUAAAUAUAGGUUUAAGGGCAAUUACUGAAAAGGAUAAGGAUGAGAUAGUUAAACAAUGUGUGGUUAAGGCAUAUGAGGGUACCUGUAGCACCUCAAAUUUGCACCCCCCAUUCAUGCAUUCAUUUCAUUUUUUAGGUCAUUUAUCAUUCCAUAUUGCAUUGCAUUUUGGCAGUCAGCAUUGGCAUCAAGAGAUUCAUCAGUACAAAAGAGAAAGUUUUUUCUUGAGAUGAAGGCCAAAUGAUUAUACUAAAGAGCUUAUAUGAGCCCAGGUUCAUUUUGAAGCAAAGUUACCAAGUGGUAGAGGCCCAAACUCAUCAGUGCACUUCCAGGUCAUCUGAGGCCCAUACAAGUCAACUAUGCAGUCAACUAAGGGCUUUGAGUUGGGGAAAUGGUUUGAGACACUUCAUUCAUGUCCAAAAGAGGCUUUUUCAUCAUGUCAAACAUCUACCUUGAAGAUUUUGAAGUCAAAUCAAAAGUUUCCAAAAAUGGAAAGUGACCUGUAAUUCAAAGUUUCCAAAAAUGGCAAGUUUUUAGACCACAUUCAACUUGACUUUCCAACAUCAAAUAAGCUUCAAAUGAAUUUUUGGUCAACAUGAAAGUUGAAGAUAUUUCUCUCCUAUUUCCAAAAAGUCCAAGAGUAUGAGUAUCUGAUGAAUGGUUGAGAAGUUAUGAACAAAUGAUUGCAAAGUAUGCAUGGAACUUCAAAGUGCCAUAACUUUUGAUCCAAAACUCCAAAUUGAGCCACUCUUUUUGCAAAAUGCUUGUAUUGACCAAUAUUUUCCAAAUCAAACAUUGCAUUGCAUGAAAUUAACUCACAUGAUCAUUUGUCCAUGCAUGUAUAUUUUGGAGGGAAAAUGGAUAAUUCAAAUUCUAUUGAUCAUACAUGAAAAAUUCCUAUGCCAUUGUGAUCUUUGGAUGAUUUUAAGUGACUUUUAACCAUGCAUGUGCACUGUUCACGUGUAAAAUCUCCAUGCACCACACAUUUACCAUUUUUGCAUUACACCUCAUUUCUCAUUAAGUUUCCAUUAGCCAAGCCUAAUUGUGAUUAGCAUGAUAAUUAACAUGUGAUAUAAAUAGAUAAUCCUAACUGAAUUGGAUGAGAUUACACAUUCUAGAUCUAGAAAUUGGAUUUCCCUCCAAAAAUUCUCUCAAUUCAAACAUCAAAUUUCUACACAUAACUCAUGAAUUUUCUUGCAUAAUUGUGUUCAUCUUGCAUCAUUGAGUAAGAAUCAAGGCCUGGACUGAAGGAUUUGGUGCAGAGUCGAGCUCCACGAAUGCAUGAAAAUGAAGAAGGUUUUCUGAAUUUGAGCUUCAUUUAGGUAGUUUCAAUUGCUAUUCCUUCCAUAAAGCUUCACCUCAAGGUUGAUAGAGGAGACCUGGAGCUGGAGGAGGCUUGAAUCCACGAAAUCAUCGCACUGUUCUUCAAGAAGGUUAAAAUUUGAAUCUCAUUAUUUGCCAUUUUAUGCACAUGAUCUUGUAGGUCGUGCUCCACUGAUGAUUCUGAUAUGAAUAUUAUUGAUUUUGGCUGGAUAUUGAGUGAGUUAUGAUGAAUUAAAGUUUGUAUGCUAAAUUUGUUCUUGCUCGAUCCAUGAGAUAUGUGAUGAUUUAGAGUGAAUUAGGCAUGGAUUUGGAAUGUACGUUAUGCAAGCUUUCGAUCCAUAUCAUUUUUGCAUGAUUCUAGAAUUUUUUUGAUGCACCUUCAUCGGCGUACCACCGGAGAAGAUGACCGAAAGUACUAUUCCGGUCAUCUGGUUCAUGAGCUAGGGUUUUAAUGUGCGCACCUGUAACCAUGCAAGCCCCAGUUCGAUCCUUGGCAACUGUUAUUUUAAAAUCCAUUUAUUUUCUCCCUAUGAUCCAAACGUUGCGUUUUGCUCUAGCGCCCUUGUGAACAAGCCUUGCCUCUGUUCGAUUCUUGGCCUGGCAAUUAUCCCAAUUGAUUUUAUUGAGCGCGCCUAUGACCCUAUAGUCCUCAGUUCGAUUCAGGCGCUUUGCAUUUUUUCUUUUAUUUUCAAUUGAAGCGCUGCCUUGGACCUUUGUGUCCUGAGUUCAAUCCCUGACCAAGUAUUUUUCAUCUUUUAAUUCACAUUUCAUUUUUUCACAUGAUUGUUGUGAUGUCUAUUAUUUUUUGAUGUGAUUUUCCUAAUUUUUGUAUUUCUGGAAUUUUAAAUGUGUUUGUGUGAUUGAACAUGAUGCAAAUAUGACAUGUUAUGCUAAAUGUUUUAUGAAAUGCUCAUAUUUUAUCCAAUUGCCUUGAAAUUUGACAUGCUUGAUCUAUACAUGUGACAUGAUUUUUGAGCUUUUGUUUGGCAUUUUUAGCACAUUCCAUCACUGUUUGGGACACAUGAACAUAUGAUGUAGCAUUUGGUGUCACAUUCUUGACCUUGCUUGUGUUCAUUUUCAUUUGCAUGUCAUUUGAUAUCUUCUGGACCUAAUUCUUUGCAUGAUGCUUGUGUUUAAAAUUUUGAUCUCACAUAAAAAAUUUCAUGAUCAUUGGAUGCAUUUCUGUUUUAAUGUGGAUUUUCUACCUUUUUCUUGCCUUGUGUAGAUGAUGAAUAAGCACCACUGUUGAUUGACUGUUUGGUUUGUCUGAAUGUGAUAUUGACUGUUUGACUUUUGUACAGGUACAUUAGUCGCUUUUAGCUCUCGCUUGAGCUUUGCUUUGGUUGUGGUUGAUAUACCACCUAGGUAAUCACUCUAACUCCAUGUAGUCUGGAAGCCCUGUCGUUUCUUUUGGCAUGCAUUUGGUUGAAGUCCUCCUUAAGAGGCAAUGACUGUGUUUAUUUAUAUUUAUGCCAAAGACCUCCUUGUCGAGGCAUGUUACUUGUUAAGUCCUCCUAAGUGAAGAGGCAAUUGACAGAUGGAAAGGAUUAGCAAUCAAUCCCCUGUUAUUCGUUGAAUCGUUCAUUAUGCUCGCACUAUAUGCUGAUGCUCUUGAACCUAACCCAAGAUCCUUGUAUAUAGAGUCAGUCAAGUGGAAUAGGGUCCCUCUUUCUGGAUCCCCAGGUUUUCAUUGAUUUGAGCUCACCCAGGCCAGGGUUAAGAGCAUGAGGUCUUAUCCUCAUUACCUUUCAUCAGCUUCACCCUAACUCUCAAUGUUAGUGGUUAAGAGCUUCAGCACACCCCUACAGUUUUGGCUUGUUUGUCGAGGUUGAUAUGACCCCUUGACUAAAGCCUUACCCUCAGAUGUUUGAGCCCCUUGUUGGCGUGUUUACUUCAUGUAUAUGUUUUUGUGUGGUGUGAUUGUAUCCCCAUAGGAUUGCUAGACUUCGUAUAGUCUCUCGUUUGCAUGUCAAUUAAGGUAGCAUGGUUCCUUCGUCUAGGACUUCCUUUCUUGCGUGAGCAUUCCUAAAACACAAACAAACUUUAUCUUCUCUUAAGGACACGUUGACUCCUUCUACUACAGGUGAGUAAGUCUCCAAAGGUCGAGCAUCCAUCUAGGACUUCCUUUCUUGCGUGAGCAUUCCUAAAACACAAACAAACUUUAUCUUCUCUUAAGGACACGUUGACUCCUUCUACUACAGGUGAGUAAGUCUCCAAAGGUCGAGCAUCCGGUAGAUUGCAUAGUAACGUUGUUCACCUAAAAAACACAACAAACAGAAAUAGUUUAGCCGAACUACGACAACUCUGAUUCUCAUGUUCAGAUGAGAUACGUAGGCAUGAGAUGCGAUGUCUUGUCGAGUUUGACUGACGACUAACAUUAAUCCUUGCUAGUUUUCAUCCUCGUUGCGAUUCUUUUCUCUCGCCCUCGUUGCGAUUGAGACCUUCCUUUUCUCUUGCCCUAGUUGCAAUCGAGACCCUUCUUCUUUUCGUGUGUGUUUGUUAGGAGUCGGAUAUAAGUCCAUCUAUUGGCAUUCUGUUUCCUGUUUGCGUGUGUGUUUGUUAGGAGUUGGAUGUAAGUCCAUUUAUUGGCAUUCUGUUUCCUUGUGUGUUUGUUCGGAGUCGGAUGUAAGUCCAUCUAUUGGCACUCUGUUUCCUGUUUGUAUUUCCUUGUUAGGAGUUGGAUGUAAGUCCAUUUAUUGGCAUUCCGUUUCCUUUGAGUGUUCUUUUGACGUCUCAGCGUCUCUUUUCAGUGUUUUGUUUCGGCGUGCGUUAGCCGAGCUACGAGUGCUCUGAUUCUUCCUCUGGUUAGAGAAGAUACGUAUGCAUAGGAUGCGAUGUCCUAGCGAGCACGUCUCCCAUUUCCCCGAACUACGUCGACUCUGAUGUUUGUUUCUGACAAACUACGUAGGCCCAGGAUGCGACAUCCUGCCGAGUCUGCUUUCUCCGUCUCCUCUUCCGCCUGUUUAUUAUUCCAUUGCGUGCAGUCUUUGAGCAGUUUUAUUAGCAACCUUAUUCUUUCCUUCUGAGCGUGGAUCCCAUCGAGUACGACGGACGUGAGGGGUGCUAAUACCUUCCCCUUGCGUAACCGACUCCCGUACCUAGCAAUCUUUGUUCGUAAGACCAUUCCUUUCCCUUUUUCAGGUUUACUUCGAGGGUUUCCUUUCCCUCCUUUGGGAUAAAUAACGCACGGUGGCGGCUCUGUGUCUUUUCCCGCCGGUUGUUUUUCGCGAUGCGACAGUACCAAUCAAGGUGACCAAGAGGAAAGAGGAGUCACCAUUGAUCAACUUAUAGACAAAAAUUCUCCUUGGAGGAGAACAAAGAGGCAUAUCUUGACUGAACCAAAUCCUCCUUUACCAGAUUACGUAAAACCACCGUAGCCGAUAAUUAAAAAGAAAUUGGUUCAAGAUGAUGAAGCGGGAAUGUUUGCAAAGUUCAAGGAAGUUCUAGCUACUCUCCAGGAAAGUAUUUCAUUCCAUGAAAUUUUAGAACUAAUGCCUAAGUUUGUUAAAUUUAUGAAGGCGUUUCUAAAUGGGACGGAAGAGAAAUGAAUCAAGGAACAUGUAAACAUGACCGAAAAUGAUGAUAUGGUAAAACCUCAAUCCUUACAACCUAAACUAAAAGACUCAGGUAAGUUUAUUAUUUCUUGUAAUAUCAGUGGAUUCAAUAUUCUGCAUGCUCUAUGUGAUCUGGGGUUUAACAUAAAUGUCAUGCCACUGAAAACUGUCAAAGAAUUAAAAAUGGGUGAGAUCACACUGAAUAACAUGACUCUCACUCUAGUUGAAUCGUCUAUUACUCAAUCGAUUGUUACUUUACGCAACAUAUUAGUAUCUGUGGACGACUUAUUGUUUCCUAUAGAUGUUGUAGUGCAUGAUACAAAAGGAGAUUAAGGAGGAUCUGUUAUUCUUGGACGUCCAUUCUUGGCAACCGAGAAAGCAAAGAUUGAUGUGGACACUGGUCAACUUAUCUUGAAGUCAAAUAAAAGGAAUGUGGUUUUCAAGGUAUUUGACUGGGCAUCUUAUGUGGAUAAUUUGGAUACUUUAUACCAUCCGGAGGAAAAAGGUAGAAAAGUAGACAAAGGAACAAUGAGAAAGGAAGUGACAGGCGUGAGGGUAUCCCUUGCACCUGACGUACCUUAGACAUGGAUUGUCAAGCUAGUUACGUAAAAAAAGCGUCUGAUGGGAGGCAACCCAUCCGUAAGAAAUUAUUUUUAUGUCAUAGUGAAUUUUUAUUUUUCUAACCUUGUUAAUUUUUGUGUUAUGUUGUUCGAAGAGAAAAUAGGUAAAAGAAGAAAAGAAAGAAAAAGAAAAAGGGAAGAAAAUAGAAAAAGAAAAGAGAUAGGAAAGUUUCAGCCCCUGGAAUCAUCACGCAUGAUAAUAUAAACUAGUUAUUUACAAUAAAUUUUUUUGAUAUUUAUUUAAAGAAGCACAAUUAAUAUAAAGACAAUAACACACCAAUCACACAUAAUAAUUUUAGAAUAAUUAUACUCUAAGAUUUUGAGAGUCGUGAUAUCUCCUCUUCUUAAAUGUUUAAGAAUUGGAUCUCUCUCACUAAUCUCUAUCCCCUUAUUUAUUUUAAGAAUAAACAUAUUGAAUUAAUAAAACAUAAUUGCACAUUUCUUAUAGCGAUUAUACAAACAACUAUCAAAGUUGAAAAAACUAAAGAGAGGUCAACUCAAUCUUUAUCAAAUUAAAUUAAAGUUUAUUUUAAAACACAAACAACUAGUUCAUUAAAAAGAUAACUUGUUUAGUACACAAAUGAGAUCUUACUUAAUACAUAGAAAUAAGAUCUUACAAAACAUAGAUAUUAAAAACAUAGGAACAACAUGAAAAGUUUUCAAAAUGACAUAGACAUUGAUUAACAAAGACAUGAAUUAGUUUCGGGUAUUUUUUAACCAUCCAUCAAGGUAAACUUGUUUGGAGUCAGGGGUGAAUUUUUCUUUCUCGGCUCGGAUAUCUUUCAACCAUCCAUCAAGGUAAACCUGAUUGUUGUCUGAGGUGGAUUUUGUUGUCUCGGCUCGGAUAUCUUUCAACCAUCCAUCAAGGUAAACUUGGUUGGAGUCAGAGGGCAAUUUUAUUUUUUCAGCUCGAGUGUCUUUCAACCAACCAUCAAGAUAAACUUGUUUGGAAUCAGAGGUGGAUUUUGUUUUCUCUGCUCGGGUAUCUUUCAACCAUCCAUCAAGGUAUACUUGGUUGGAGUCAGGGGUGGAUUUUGUUCUCUCAUUUCGAGUAUCUUUCAACCAUCCAUCAAGGUAAACUUGGUUGGAGUCAGACAUGGUUUCUGUUUGCUUAGCUCGAGUAUUUUUUAACCAUCCAUCAAGGUAAACUUGGUUGGAGUCAGGGGUAGAUUUUUCUUUCUCAGCUCGGGUAUCUUUUAACCAUCCAUCAAGGUAAACUUGUUUGGAGUCAGAGGUGGGUUUUGUUUUCUCUGCUCGGGUAUCUUUCAACCAUCCAUCAAGGUAAACUUGAUUGGAGUUAGGCAUGGACUUUUCUUUCUCGGCUCUGGUAUCUUUCAACCAUCCAUCAAGGUAAACUUGGUUGGAUUCAGAGGUGGAUUUUGCUUUCUUUGCUCUGGUAUCUUUCAACCAUCCAUCAAGGUAAACUUGGUUGGAGUUAGGUAUUGACUUUUCUUUCUCAGCUCUGAUAUCUUUCAACCAUCCAUCAAGAUAAACUUGGUUGGUGUCACCUGUAGAUUUUGCUUUCUCAUCUCGAGUAUCUUUCAACCAUCCAUCAAGAUAAACUUGGUUGGAUUCAGAGGUGUCUUUUGCUUUCUUUGCUCUGGUAUCUUUCAACCAUCCAUCAAGAUAAACUUGAUCAGAGUCUUGGGAGGAUUUGGUUUUCUCUGCUCGUGUAUCUUUCAACCAUCCAUCAAGAUAAACUUGGUUAGAAUUAGCAAUUUGUUUUUGACUCUUCAAUGGAUUUUUGAGCCAACCAUCAAGGUAAGGUUGAUCAGCUUGUAUUUCUUCUACAUUCUCUUGCUGAAGUUUGAUAUAUCGGGCAAAGCUUCCUUGUCCAUUCUACGAUACAAUUGAAUAAAUGGAUAUUAGUGAGUUAUUUUUGGAUGGUAUAUAUGACUAUAAAAACAAAAUUAUGUGUUUUAUG